AGGAGACUGACACAACAGCAGACUGACUGUUUUUCAGCUCUGAUUAGACACUAGUGUUGAGAUGACUGUCUGUCAUGAUAGCAUGUACUGAGUCAGGGCCAGUACCAGAUAAGCACAUUAAACUAUAAUCCAUAAACGUAAGGUAACAACCCAGACCUAAUGGUGCUGUGACAGCAACGCGAUUGAGUUUGAGACAGUGAAAAUACAUAUGGUAUGUUGUAUCUGAACAGGUUAGCUUACGAGCUAAAGUUACUUAGCACAGAUGAAAGUUAAAACAAAGACGUUUAGCAAACUGUUAAAGCACACAAACCAUCGUCAUAUGAGAAAUCCAACGCUAUGACUCUCCACAAGUUGUCCUUCAGGUGGUUAUCUUUGUAAUGUUUGUGUUUUUUAUCAAAAAGCACUCUGUCCUCUGACAUGUAAACAAUCAGCUGGUCGGCCAUGUUGGAUAUACCAGUGAAUCAGACGUCGCAACAACACGCAAUCUGAUUGGUCAGAAGUGGACACACAGUCUGCGAAACUUGAGAAAAAUUGACCGUGAUGCGAAAAAAAAAAUACCGCAAUAUCGCAGGAUGGGAAAAUGUUGCUGAUGUGAACGCUUGUAUUGACAGGAUAUGGGUCCGAAAAAAAAUAUUGACGUCCGAAAUAAUCGCAGGAAAAAAAUGGUCCCUGUGUGAAAGGACCUUACAUCUGUAGAUUAGUUCAGUUCAUUUCAUGUUUCCCAGGCUCAAGCUGUAUUGCCCCCGGAAGCUCCAAUAACCAAUCAUAGCAACGCAGUAUGUGAAGUAACAUGGAGCGGCAGAAAAUCUAAACAGAUUGAGGUAUGCAUGUGAAGAUACAUCAAGUUUGUUGAAAUCGCUGUAAUGGCAGAUUCAACUGGCUUUCUUGCAGUAGAGGCGGCCAUCUUUUUUGUUUACAAAAAGGCUGAUGUGUCCUGUGCCAUCAUCUUUCAAAACCCCUCCACAUAUCCAUAUAUCUAUUUGUUUUCUUCUGCUUAUCCAACAUGAGGUUGUGGAGCCAGGCAUUCCUCACCCGAUUGGCUCUGACUUCCUCCAGAUCUCCACUUCUAGGCUUCUCUCUAAAACUGAUCUGAUCCCCUUUAGAGGUAAGUCAUUCGGGCCAUUUGUAAUUGUAAACUCAUUCUUUCAAUCAGACUGUAUAUAGAAGAACGCCGUUCGUCUCCUUGCUGGGUGAAGCCACCGCGAGAGCAGCACCCUCUGGUGACGGGCAGUAUAGGUCAUAAAUCCUGGCUUCUCCAGCAAUCCCUAUGGAGCUACAGACAAACUUUAGAAAUUUAUUACACAGAAUAUAAUUUUUUCUCCCCCCUGGUUGCGAUGUUGACAUGUAGUUGUUGUUGUUAGACUGGUUUGUGCUCAAGUCCUCUUUUUUCUGUGGUGUAUUUGUAAUUGACAGGAAAUCGAGGGCAGAAUUCACAGAAACUAGUGUCCAGGAAAGUGGCUGAGCACAGAGCAUUUUUACUUGGUAAUCUUCCACCUCUGCAACCAGACACAUUUUGAAUGUCUUUGUCCUGUCCUUAAAAUCCAGAUACUCUGAUGAAUUGUGGCUCUUUGGGUUGAAGUAGAAGUCUUUUUUCUUGAACAGACCAGCUCCAGGCCCUCCAGAUCUGGAUAAUAAACUUAAAUGUCAUCAUAAGAACACAACAUGAUUCUUCAAACUCCAAACACAAGAGGCUGGGAAUAAGAAAUGAAUUCUCCAUUGUGGCUGAUUUUCUCUGAACAGCGCAGAGAUUCAUGCUUUCUCAAACAAUAGAUACAAUAUCAAUCACAGCUGGGAAACGCUUUUGGGCAUUUUCGUUCAAACGUUUUUGGCUGGCUGUUGAGUCGGGUUGGUAGCGUGAGAAGAAUGAGUGUUAUUUCCUGAAACUGCCUUCGGUUAUUCCAUUUGUCAGGCUUUCAGGAGCGAGCUGGAGAUGCAUUUGAGCUGCGUUUGAUCCAGCAGCCAGCUGGUCUACGCCAACAAAGGACUGCUGAGGCUGAUCACCCUAAAACUGGUGUCAAACCAGACCCUCCAAACCAGACAGAUAUACUCCAUAAUGGGAAACGACACAACCAACUGUGGGAAACACUUAGAAAUGAGCUUGUUGACAGAUUAGCAUUUUUUCGCCUGUAGGUCCUAGUGAGUUUUUAUCUCUGAUAAAGGAAUAUGCUCCCAGCCGACUGUUCACCAGAGAUAGAAAAUAAAAGAGAAAACACUUUAAUAGGCCAUUUUUCUCUGCUUCCUGAUGUGUCCUUGUAAAGGGACUAUUAAGUUGUCUUCAGAGACAAAUUACAAUAGAGAUAAAGCGAGCGUGUUUGUUGAUCCGACUGAUCUCAGCCAGCUGUAAAGGAAGCCAGAAGGUUUCUGUGUAAUCGCCAAACAAGCAGCAGAUAACAUCACAACCUGACGUUCAGACCGAGCUGUUAUAAACGGCUUUCACUUCCACAUUAGCAGGAUGACUUUCAUUCAUCUCCUGCUCUCCCCCUGCCAUCCACUCAUGAUAUCUGUGAUUUUAAAUGUCAGCGAGGAAAAAGGCCAGCUGAAGGUGAGGACUGAGAUUUCUCAUCAGCAAUAAAAAAGAUAUGAGGACAAACUUUGGAAAAAAAGUUGCUGAGCUUGACAAAGAAGUGUAUUGCAUGGUGAAAGAAGAGGGUAUGCUUUUAGUCAAGUGUCAUAUUUGCCUUGUUUGAAAUAAUUAUGAUUUAUAGUGUUCUGGUGCAUGAUAUUGAGUCGAGUUAUUAGCAUCCUGCUGGGGCAUGGACCAAUUAGCAGCAUGACUCUCUGCACCUGUGGAGCUCUAUCCCUUUUAAUAGACAUUCCUAAGGACCAAAUGAAGAUGAUAAUGGUGCGGUCAGUGACAAAUUAGCGCCCAACAGCUGGGACACAAACCAGGAAGAAAGAGCGAGGAGCAGUGGGGGUGGACAAGAGAGCAACAACUAUGAAACAUGACAGCGCCUGUAUCUGAAGAGGGGGAAGCCCUGCAGAGCUGAGGGUGUCCAGAGUGAUGUAACAUGACCUAGCAAGGACAUUUUCUUUAGUGCAUUUUUUUUUUCCUUUGCAAUCUUGCAACUGUCUGGCUGCAUUUGAAGUUUAUCUUUUCUUUCGCUGCAAAGAAACUGCUCCAUACCUGUUUGAAAAAAGAGAAAAAAAACAUGAUUAAAUCAGUUUUAUCAUCAUCUCUUAAAAGAGCAUUUUUGACUCUUCAACAGACAGCUCUCCUCAAAAACUGACCUGAUUACAACAGUAGGGAAAUUGUUUUUUCUCGCCUAUAUCUAUCUGUUCAUUCGUGAUAGUGAUGAGAAGAACAGUUAUUUUGACUGUACCAUUCAUUAAAAGAAUUCGUUUAAAAGAUUCGUUCACUGAAUCAGUCAGCACGAUGGAGUCCCCCUCUGCCGGUGCAGUACACGAGUGAGUGACGCAGCUGCGAAUUCGUUCAUUGAAAAGGGAGACACGUGUCGUUCAUUUACCAAGUCGUAAAAGGAAGAAUCACUCCCCUGCCCUGAAAAAUUUGCCUCUCUGUGUAUCGCCGUCGGCGGAAACAACACAGCAGCAAGCAGCACGCUUGCUAAAUGAGCUUGAGUCGUCAUUCUGGUACUUUUAAGGUAUCAAAUAGCCUAUUCCUUUAAAUCGGCUGAAAUUAAAUCCUUCUUGCAGGAAAGUUUAUACACGUGUUUUAAUGUAAAGGCACUAUAAUGCAGUGUUUUUUAUCUUAGCCUCAGUGAAUAAACCAGUGUUCAGCAGUAAGUGAGUGACACUACACCCCUCCCUCCUCUGCCCGCAUCAAAUCAUUUGGAAAUCGUUUGUUUCAUUCACCAUGUCGUUCACUGACUGACUGAAUCAUUCUGUUCACUUACUGAUACAUGUUGUUCACAGACGUUUCAUUCACAUCGACUGAUAUCAUUCAUUCACUGUGAGCAAAUCAUGAGACUCCGCCCGCUCGCUGGCUGGCUGUGUGUCGUUCGGCUGAGCUCAACUGAACAAAAAAAGGAACGAAUCAGGUCCCGGAGUGAUUCAGUUCACAUUGUUCACUCAGCAGUUCUGUUCUUUUGAAUGAAACGUUCGUGAAUGACACAACACUAAUUCGUGACUUCUUUAUCCAAUGGCACUAGUGUUGUGUCAUUCGCGAAUGAAUCAUUUAAAAGAACCGAGUCUUUUGAGUGAAUUUACUGAACCGAAUCACUUCCUGAAGUGAUUCGUUCAUUUCUCUCUCCGGUUGAGCUGUCAGCCACGCAGCUGCCAUAGCACGCAGAAUUGCCGGGUGAGCAGCUGGCGAGCAAGGGACCAUGCACUCCAAUACCUGGAUCACUUGGUGAACGAAUCACGCAGUGGACUACACUUUCUUGAAUCGUUUUUGGCUGAGGGAUUCAACUUUGCUAAAUUGCCACCACAAGAACUUGCAUAUAGUAGGACACAGCAUAAAAAAAGUAGUGUACAUUACCCGCAGUUUGAGAAAUGCGUGACUGUCUGAUCCCAUUAUUGCUGCGAUUUGCAAGGGAACGAUGCAUAUGCUGGGUGAAUUCGUCAUUGGAUGUUCUGUGGGGUAAACGUUCAGUGAACGAAUCACUCACUGAGCCCAAUUUACCGAGUAGACCAGAUAAAUAGCAUAACCACUGGACAGAAAAUUCAUUUCCACAAACCUUUUUGUCAAAGCAACACAACCACAACCACAACCACAACACUUAUCUCACAGUCCCAGGACCCGUGAACUGAAGUGAAACCAUUCAGCUGUGUAUCACCUCAGGAAGUCAGAGUCUCAGACUCCUCCCGCCAAGUGCUGAGUGAUUCGGUGAACGAAUCUUUUAAACAAAUCUUUAUAGUGAACUGAUUCUAGUGAUUCAGUACAUCUAAAAGAACUGCCGUGCCCAUCACUAAAUGGCACAGUGGCAGACCCCCACUGUUAACUUGCUCUCUACAAAUGUUAGAAAGUGCACCAACUCUUUGAUACACCGCUUCAAGGUAGAUGACAUCUGUCUGUCACUUCUUAAAAAAGUUUCUGUUGCUAUCAAAAAUACACAUUAGAUGAGGACUUCUCUUGCAACCAAACGUUAUUGCAACCUCAGGCACCAGAAACUGGAGCUGCAUGAGCCAUUUCUAGAUUUGCAGUAUUUAUUUCCAGUUCUAGUUCAUUAUUAAAUAAAAAACUUAAUAUCCCCGGAUCUUGAACUGUUAUUUUAGAAAUUAAAUAUCUGAAAAGGGGAUUUAAUAAUCACAUGCUUUUUCUUGCACCUUUGGUUGAAAUUAGCGUGGCCAUUAAUAAGUCUAGAGGGGUGAGAGAAAAGGGGGAGAAUCUCAGCUAAAACAGAUCAGAGUUAAGUCCAUUAAAAGCUGCUGAAAAGCUCUGCACAUUUUCCAGACAUAAUGUUUCUGAGGAGCUUCAGGCUCUUUUCUUACGCAUAACCUGUUCUGAACACUGUGCAAAUGAACAGAAUAUAAGAACAGAAACUUCCAAACCUUUAACCUUUAACAAUGAAUUCAAAUAACCCUCAGAGGAAGUGAUUUUUUCAUUUCACACCUGCACCUCCAGACCCACGUCUGACCUCAUACAGCGGUCGUCUCAUACCUCCCUGAGUGGAGAGUGAUUAUCAGAGCCUUUCUUUAUCUGAAUGCACACUGAUUUUCACCGUGUGUUACUACACUGUGUCAGUAUGAGGGGUAGAGGUUGCAGGGUUUAACAAUAGAGAGCAUCAGAGAAGCACAUAAUGAUCACUCAUCACCCAAACAGUCCAUUAGACUCCAUUUUUAGGGGCUGCAGAGACACUUCUCUAUUCACCUUCGACCUGACACUUUUUUCAGUCUCAGGCAGGUGAUUUUAGCUUUCAUGGAAAAUUAUAAAAACCUCCAGUGCUUGGUUCACAAUCCCAGAUUUCAUGAAUGAUAAGACCAUUCUUGUAAAAACCAUUGUCAGUUCAAUUUCUACUUUUAUACUUUUGAAUUCUAACCACAUUUAUGCCUCUCUGAGAGCUUGUACAUGUGCUUUUAGUCAAUCUUUUUAUCACAUUUUACUGCCCCUUUGUGUGGACACGUGACUACACUAAAUCUACUGUAUUUUGGCUCUCAUUUUUAUGUAUUUAUUCAUGUAUUCACAUCAGUAAUACUCUGGCACUUGCACUUGUUUGAAUGAGAGUGCUGCAUAUUCUAUUCUGUUUUGUUUAUAGUGAUUUCUAUGCUACAUCACUCUGGUGGUUAAAUAUAUACACUACAGGCCAAAAUUUUGGAAUCAAGGCCAUUACAGGCCGAACAGUUGGGAGUAACUUUAAGUUUUUGUUCACAAUGCAUGAGUUUUAUGUAUUUUGGGAUGCAUUACUCUUUGAUCAGAUGUUGUUUUCAUGGAAAUGCACCAUUUUACUCCAUUUACCUUUAGAUAUACAUUGAUGUUAACUGACCAUUGCUAAAUAUAUGUCAGCAAAAGAUAAUAAGGGCUUAGUUUUAGGGUUGAUAACAUUUGCAAGAGUCACAACUUUAGUGCAAAAGCAAAAAAAAAAAAUCACAGUUGGAUUAUCAUUUCAACUUUUUGGCUUUUGGUUUGUGUGCUUUAACAGUUUGCUAAACGUCUUUGUUUUAACUUUCAUUAGUGCUAAGUAACUUUAGCUUGUGAGCUAACCUGUUCAGAUACAACAUACAAUAUGUAUUUUCACUGUCUCAAAGUCGCAAAAUUGAAUCGGGCUUGAUGUGUAUCGCCAGGCACGUCAAAACCCGCCUUCAAAUAUUUCUGAAUUUCGCGUCGGAUGUUUGCGUCGGUCCUGUUGUGUAAGGAACUUAACCUGUGUAUACUGUAUAUGCCAUCUAAAGCAUGCCAAACCUGUAGAUGGCAGUGCAGCGAGAGGCUCAAGCCCACGUUAGCUAAUCAGAAUCCCACAUAGCAGCAACAACAACAACAUUACUCCCUUCUUUCCUGUGCACAAUUUGCCGUCGGCUACACAAAUUUCUGUUUUUCUCCGUUUACAUGCGAACAUGCAAAUGGAAUUUUCCAAAAUCACUCUGGACGGAGUUCUUAAAAAGCAUUGUUUUCAGGGGCGAAUUCUCCAUUUGCGUCUAAAUGAAGGGUGCAAACAAUGGUGAAUGUUUCUCUUUUUAAAAAGAACCAUGUCUGUAUAAAUGGGGCCAAAGUCUUACCUCUUUAGCCUGGCUAGGCAAACACACAAUUUUUUAAUUUACCCAACAUUUUUCAGGCUGAGCCUCCUGCCAAAGAGCUACAACACAAACAUUAUCUCAGCCAUGCCCCGAAUAUGCAAAUGUAUGAAUAAUCCAUAGUUUAUUAGCAACACAUACCAUAAGUUUUUGAAUGGGGCCUUUUUCUGUUGUAACCUUGGACGUGUUAACACUGGACGUAAUGGGGAUUUGUUGGCUUCUGCAGCCAGCCUCUAGUGGACACUAAAGGAACUACAGGUUUCUGCACUCCUGUGGUAGCUUCAUUCUUCUCGCCUUGAGGAUGCUGUAUGUGAAAGUACCUUGUGUCCUCUGCCGUUCAAAGAACCUUUGCACUUCAUUUCAUCAUCUCUAUACUGACUGAUUUUCAUUCUCUUGCAUGUCAAAAAUCCUUAUCCUCGAUUCCCGGUAUUUCUAUGAAAACCUGUCUGACAGACGAGCAAACAUCCCUCCUCAGCUGGCAUACAGAUAGAUAGAUGUUGCUCUGUUAUUGUCUGUCACAUGGAAACACUGUUUGUAAGCAGCACAGCUGUCAACAUGUCAGCACUUCAGGAUGAGGCAGAAUAAAAUACAUGUGGCUUUUUUCCAAGCAGCAGCGAUAUCUCAAUAAUCAGUGUCACUACAGUGCGACACGCUGCCUGGAGAUGGAUUCAGCCAACCAAGUAUGUUAGAAACAUGUGAAUUUAAUGCAGAGGAUUGUGCUUUAGUGGAGUGAAGCUGUAUCUGUGAGGUGAUUUUAAAGUCAGAAGAGCUGUGUUUAAUGUAAGAAACCAUUGCUGCUGACAGAGCCUGCAGCUUGGCAUUAAAGGGCAUCACAUCGCUGGAUUGCUUGUGACAUUUUGGUGCAAUUGUUUUCACAGCUCAUGAGUUUUCUGAAUCAAGUUUGGACCUUUCACACCUGUAGCUGCGGUGAAACUCCUGCACCUUCUCGCUGCUCCGUGUUUGUGAGUCUCAGAGGAGCGUUGUGUGUUUACCGGAGCGAAUAAAACACCGAGAGCGUGGGAUUAAAUAACAAAUAUAAUGUCCUGUGGUGAAGUUUGCUUAAAGUACAGGAGAAAGCAGGAAUGAUAAUGUGUUUAGAGGCUGUUUUCAGUGCUGCUGAUUCAGAGGUCAGAGUUAAGUUGCUGUACGGGAAAAAGUGCUGCGUGGUUAUCUGAACUACACACUGUGAAAUGUAUCAGGACAGAGGAGCCAGUCAGCUUAAAAAGGAAAACAGGCUGAAUAUAAAAGCAUGUAUUUACUAUUCAGCUACAGGUUACCGCUGUGACUUUCCAAGGCCAAUAUAAUAAUACAAUCCUGACUGCUGCUUUGAAUUAUUAGGGUGUUUACUCUACUGUUCAAGAGUGUACCCUGGAAACUUGUGCGAGGUUUCUGAAUGUUUUUGGUAUUUUUUCAAGGUCAUAACACGCCUGUCUAACAGCAAGAUUUCUCAGCGCACCCUCUGAAGCUAAAUCACAAGACAGGUUGUCAAACUGCUGAUGAACUGCCUUAUCCAGCAGUAAUAAAACCAGCUAUAAUGGCUGCAAAGUAACCUUCAGCAGACACUGCCCUCAUCCACCUGAAGUCUGUGCUCUUGUCUCUGACAGGCUCAGAUUGUUGUCAGCUUACAUGUUACGGGUCAAACUCUCUAACCUGUGCAAAAAGAGGAUGGAAUUUCUAGGGGUGUCCCGAUACAACUUUUAUACUUCCGAUACAUUACCGAUAUUGUAGCCUACAGUAUACGGAUACUGAUCUGAUAUUGGCACAAACUUGAGCAUGGCAAGUUUUAGGACUGGGCAAUUAUAUGAUCGUGAUUGAUGAUCGUGAUGAAUUUCAGUUCGAUCAAGUUAAUCAGCUGUGAGCAUAGUUACUUGAUCAAAUGUAGCGGAAAUAUGCGUCACAACAGCCAAUCAGAGUCAAGCUUUUCCUGCUCACUUCUGUAAGUUGCUGGAGAAGUAAACAAGAGAAGUAAACAGAAUGACCGAAUGUAGAGCUAAAUGUGGAGCCGAAGGGAGCAAAGUGGAUGUCAGCCGUGACUUAGUCAUCCUCAAAAGAUGUUAUUAUUGAAAAGUUAUUCAAGGUCGGUUGUGUGGCGGUGGUUCGGGUAUCUCCAAAGUGACGUUGAGCAAUUAAGCCAAUGUGAGAGGUAUGUCAGCGGUUGGUGCCCUCAAAAACCGGCAACACAAUAGAUCUGUUUAAUCGUUUAAAGAAGUACUUCCCGGGUGAUUAUGCGGAAAGCAUGAAAAUGCGAGCAGAGUCUGCACAGCCUGACACUUCUGAUGGUACAAGUAGCAUUAGCAGUUUAGCUACAACUAGCGGUGCAGCCACCAGACCAAAGCAGCAAUCAAUCGUAUCAUCUAUGUUUACAUCAUCUAAUGUUUACAUUUUAAGGCGUCUUUAUUAUCCCUGAGGGAGCAAUUUGUUUGUUUUGGGUCUUGCAUACCUGCAGAAACUCUCAGGACUGUAAACUAAUUUAUUGUAUUACUUACUAUUUAUCUACAUUUGUUGUACUGUUGAAUUGUUUUUUAUAUUACUAUGAGUUUACCUUAUUCAAUUUGCUUUGUUUUUAUUUGUAUGUUAAUAAAAUAUUGACCUAAUCUCUAGUUUAAUUAGUUUUUAGUACAGAUACUUAAAAAAAAAAAAUCGUGAUUAUAAUCGAGAUCGGAUGAUAUGACAAAAGAUCGUGAUUUUUUUUUUUUGCCAAAUCGCCAAGGCCAAGCAAGUUUUGCACUCAGCUGCAACAUCUUUUUGGGACUUGAACGAAAACUACUUCCACAUGGCCAACAUCACUCCAACUCCUUGCUAAUUUUUAGUACCUUAGUACACACUGUUGUUGUGAUCCCAUGGGCUUUGCAUGCUAGAUUUGAGUGCUGCUAGAUAGGGGUGCUGGAGCGGAAUCUGGAAUGGACUGCUUGUAUUAUGCUAAUAUUAGAGAUUUUUAGAUACAGGCUGGUAUAAUCCAAUAUUUGUUUUUGUUUGUUUGUUUUGCUGAUAUUGAUAUCUGAUAUCUGUCAUAUAUCCGAUAUUGACAUCCAAUAUUGGACAGAUAUGCAAUAUUGAUAUCAGAUAUCAGUCCGAUAUCGAAUCGGGACAUCCCAAGGAUUUUCCUCAUUGCUUUGCAUCGACCCGCAGCAGUGCAUUAGGCUGUAAUAUCUGCAGUCUUCUGUAAUCUUAUUAUUUCUGCAGAGAGUUCUUGCUUUUGUCUCUGAUAGGCUCAGGUUGUUAUUCUGAAGACAUUUCAAUGUGUAGCAUUGUGUCUGUUUAUGCAUCCAACUGUGUCAUGAGCAAAAUUGUGAACAAACUUCAUGAUGAACUCAGCAUGCUUUUGGAGGAUACCUUUAGGAAAUACAAUAUAAAGUUCAACAUCAACACCCACUGACCCGUCAACUCGCUAGUCACUUAAUUCAAUGACUAUGCUAAAAAAAUGUCCAAUCAUAACUUUAAUUUAUUCAAUGUAACACUGUUAGGUUAGUGUUUUUAAUAGCUAUUAAAUAAUAUGUCCAUCUUAUUUAAGCCAUUAUAUUGCCAAUGAGUUUCCAUUUACCACCAGUUUAAAGUACUCAGCUGGUUUGCUCUCAUCCACUGGUCUAAUGGUCAAGCCUGUUGCCUGUCACUUGCACACCGUUGGCCAACAGCAGUGUUGUUUUCGUCAGGCAGGACGAAAACUUAAAUGACGACGUCAGACCCCUUUUUUCCUUGACGAAAAUGAGACUAAGACGAACGUCACCAAAGCUCUGUAAAGACUAAAAUUUGACGAAAACUGUAUUCAUUUUCGUCAGACGAGAACGAGACGAGACUAAAUUGUUAUUAGGUGGACGAACAAAGUUUCAAAACAUGCUUUUUUUUGUCCUAACAGUCACGCCCCCAUCACACACGCACCAAAAGCCUCGCUCGCGCACAGCUGCGCGCACACACUCAUACACAUACACAGAGCGGCAGGUGGACGAGGCGCGCACACACACACACACCAUGGCGGCAGGCACAGCAGCGGUGCCCGGUGGCCGAAAAAAGAGGGCUGCUUUAUGGUCCUACGUCAGAUACAGUCCAAGUGACAUUAAAACACAAUGUCUUGUACGGGGACGGGGAGACGAGACAGACGACAGUUGUGGAGCCACGGCUUCCUCAUGCUGCGGCUUCAAACUGUCGGGAAAGAACACCACGAACCUCAAAAGGCACCUUUUUGUUGACUAAAACUAGACUAAAACCGUUUGAGUUUUCGUCGGACUAAAACUAGACGAAAACUAUCGAGGAUAGAAAUGACUAAAAUGGGACUAAAAUGAAGAAGCAUUUCGUCAAAAUGACUAAGACUAAAACUAAAUCUAAAAUGCCUGCCAAAAACAACACUGGCCAACAGCACAUGACGUAUUUCCCACACAACCCCCACUGGCUGCCAGUCAACUUUAUUCAUGGACCUGUCUUACAUUUUUCUUUUUAUAUGCGUGUAGGUGUUCAGAGAGAGGAAAGGCAAUCAACAUGUCCCUCUGGUUCAUGAUAGAGGUAGUCUGUCUGGUGUUAAAUGUAGAACUUUGGAAGUCAUUUCAUAGUUUAAUUUCUGAAAUUGUUUAUGAACAGACCAAGCGACAGGAUCUCUUGUCAUUGUCCUCAGCCGUUCUCAGGGUUCAUCCAAACUUUAUCUGAGUCUGAACUUGUAAAAUGUCAUAAAAACAUGCGACGGUUUGUUAAAUGAUCUGUCGCAGACUUUAAUCCUGUCCUGAUGAAAACAGAGGCUUAUUCCUGAGACUUUAAUCAUUAAUGUAUAAAAAGAAUUGAUUAAAUGAGCCACAGUGACGGCAGCUAACUGAAACUGGGAGUAAUGAACCUGAUCCUGUCUCUAAUGAAAGUCUAAUAUAUCAGCCAGCAAACGACUUUACACCUGAUUCAGUUUAUGACGGAACAAGCGACGGCAUCAUGUGAGGACAAAGUAAACUCUCCAACAAAGUUCAGUCAGACUCAGAAAUGUUUUACUGCUUCCUCUUCUCUCUGAGUCUAACGCCUGGCUCACACAGGACGCCGCGCAUGCGCUUGGCUGUUCACACAAAGCGUUUUCUGCUGCGCUCUGCCGUCUGCCCUCAGUUUUCCACACUUAUGAGCGCUUUAAACAUGGGUACGUCAAUAUUUAUUUGUUUUUUUUACGUCAUACAUGAAUUAAAUAUUGGCAGCAUCUUCAAGUAUUGUUUUAAAUUGUUAUAUUGGGGUAAACAAUGAAUGAAUUGGGGAGUCUGUUGACUCCAUUGUAUGUGUAGCCUUGUUAGCUCGAGGCUAUUGACUCUAUCGUAAUAAAGUGUCUAAACGUACUAAUUUCUUUGGUUUUGUAGGCUAAUAUUGUGUUUUUAAAUUAUAAAAGAUUUUAUUUUGUCAUAAUUAUUCCCAGUGUGUGCUGUCGUGGAGAGAAGGAGAGUCCUGGCUCUCUACUGCGUAGGCUCCGAUGACAGAGAAGGAGAUUGUGGGUCCAUCCCAUCAAUAAAAGAAGGGGGCAGCAUGGUGUUUUCCAUCAUCUUAUUGAUGAACUGCACCUGGACAGUGCCCACCAUCUGAAGUAUUUCAGGAUGAGUCAUGAAAAGAUGGAAGAACUGCUGUCAAUUGUUGGACCAGAUAUAUCAACAAUGACCACAACCUACAGAGAAGCCAUCCAUCCGCAACAGCGUCUUGCUGUUACACUUUGGUAAUAAACAUCAUGAUAAUUGUUAUUACUAUGUUAGUUUUACCCGAAUGAUUCACACAUACAAGACCAAAAUAACAAAGAACUCAUGUUCAUGCAUUUACAAAUGUAAGAAUUCAAAGAAAUUGUUAGAACAAAUAUACAAAUAUUCCAAUUAUAAACUGCUCCCAAAAUAAAGCUAAAGCUAAAUUAACUUAAACCAUUUACAUAACACGGCAAACCUCAAAUAAAAUAAUCAUCAUACUACAAUUACAGGCAUCAAACAGCAAUCUCACAGAUUCCCUUAUAACGGAGGAGAUCUUCAAGCUCCUCCAGAAAAGACACUGGCCUCGUCACACCUCCAUGGGAACAAGGUUGUUGUUCUGUAUGUGAUUGGUGGCGGUGCUGAGUAGGGGGAGGGGGGUCGGGGUGUUGCUGGGGAUGUGUCCAUGAAAGAAUUGUUGUGUGCUUUGUUGCUGCCAGGUACGGGAAUGGGGUUGCGUAUUGCUUGCCUCUUCCUCCAGACUUUCUAUCAGGCGUAGAAGUUCACCCUGGAAACGGUUUUGAAGGACAGGUGGUAGUGCAUUUAUUCUUGGGAUGAAACUGUGUAAGUAAUAUCCCAUUGCCUCUUCAUGGGUGGGGACAUGGAGGGGAGGACUGACUUUAUCGGCCGUGAGUAUCUGCAAGAGCUGCUGCUCCACUCCCACAGCAGCUGAAGAAUAUUCCCGGCCCUGAUGUUUCUUCUUUCUUCGCUGUGCGUCGGAGGAAAGCUCUUGCACUCCGGGGUGUGGUGGUGGGGUGUCUGACUGGAUCAUUUGUGAUGUGGUCGUAGCUGAUCUCUGACCAGAGCCACUUUGAAAUGGCGAGGAGGGUCUUGUCAAGGGGGUUGGAGUGCAAGGCCUUGACCCUUGUAGUGAUGAUUGUGGUGAGGAUCCUCCCAUUCCCUCGUCUCCAGCCUCAAAGUUUUCUUCUCUCAGACCCUCUAAGAGUACUUUUUGUGCUAAGAAAAAUAAAUACAAGAUAUGUAUUUUUCAAUCAAUGGCUUUCAUAUAAAAGAUGUAUACAACUGAAUGUAUAUGGAAUAAAAAUACUAACCUUCUGGGCUGCAAGUAGGGAUCUACAAAGGAGAAUAGAUAUGCCAGUCUCCAUUCUUUCUGGCUGCCACCAGCAGACCCACUCGCAGUCUUUUUCCCUUUAUGCUUCACAUAAGCAUCUCUCAACUGAUUCCACCUCCUCUUGCAAUCAUCAGCUGUAGCAUAGAAAAAAAUUAUAAAUAAAGCAUUGUAUUGUAUACCCUUGGUAUUAUUUAUGUAUUUCUAUAACGUUUUUCACAUAUUGUCACAGAUUCCUGGCCUCUGGAGAAAGCUUUGCCAGCCUGGCUUACCAGUUCCGUAUGGGGAUGAGCACAGUUAUGAUGUCUGUGCACAUGACGUGCCACGCAAUCGAGAAAAAUAUGAUGACUGCGCAAUUCCCUCCGCCAACAGAGCAAUGGUGGAAGGAGACAGCUGAUAGAUUUUGGAGGAAAUGGAACUUCCCAAACUGCAUCGGAGCUAUUGACAGCAAGCAUGUCACCAUCAAGGCCCAAAUUAAUUCUGGGAGUUUGUAUUUUAAUUAGAAAAAUGUUUCUCUGUGGUACUGCUUGCUCUGGUGGACGCCGAUUAUCGAUUUAUCAACGUCCAGGUGGGGGACUUUGGCAGGUCAACUGAUGGAGGCACCUACAGCAACUCUGACUUGGGUAUGGAGGCCAAAACUCUGGGUGUGCCUGCUGACUGUCUUCUGCCAAGGUCUGGACAACAAGGUCCACUGCCCUUCACCAUGGUUGGUGAUGCCGCUUGCCCCCUUUAACCCUACCUCAUGAGGACAUUUCCCGGUCAGCGGCUUCCAAGAUGGAGGAGGAUUUUCAAUAACAGACUGUCCCGGGCCAGAAUGGUAGCAGAGUCCACAUUUGGAAUUCUUGCAGCAAGGUGGAGGGUGUUCUACACCAGAAUCAAUUUGCAGCCAGAAAACGUUAAUCGUGUUGUGCUGGGUGCCUGCAUCCUUCACAAUUUCCUCAGCAACCCCACAGACAACCACAGGGGGCUGAGGGAGGCGGAGGAUAGAAGGAAACGCCUUGUUGAUGCUCUAAACAUGGGUGGAAAUCACGGCAGAAGAGAGGCAUAUGAAGUUCGCGAGAAAUUCCAUGCCUUCUAUAACUCUCCAAAGUGUUCCCUGGCAGGACCGCAUGGUCUAAAAUGCAUAAUGUUCUGUGAAUAAAUAGUACUCUGAAUUCUUUGUCAUCCUUGUUCACAUUGAGUUUCAAUGAAAAAUAUAUUUUUUGAAUAGAAUUAAAUGCACUAGAAAUUUGCCGCAAUAAAACUGUCAUUAUAUAUAGUAUUAUAGUAUUAUAGUAUUGAGUAAUGGCUAAAUAAAGACAGCUGAGCUUAUCUUUGAUAAAAAAUAAAUAAAUCCAGGCCCUCAGAGUUUAAUGACAAUAAGAGAAUAAUAGAAGGGUUAAAUCUUCACACUAUAUGAGAGAGAUUUGAUAUUUGAUAAGUGGAUAAGUGGAAGACAAAAAAAUACUAUAAUAAUUUUACAUGAGACCAGCUUUUGUUUUAUGAGCAUCAAUAACUACAAGCAUUGUAGGUUUUUUACCUACAUUUGGAAGGGUGGUGUGGGAAGGGGGGGUUAAACUUUGAGUGAGAACGACUCUCCUUUGGCAGUGAUAAUUGCUGUGGGGGAAGGGAAACACACUGUUUCAAAAUGUACUACCUUGAAAGUGCCAACACAGAGCUGGGACAAAGUUUAUAGUUUUGGGAUUGCUGAGAAAUAGGCUGUAACGGCUGCAAGAUCAAAUCUGGUUUUUCGUUCCUGACAGACUCAGAUUGAUAUUCCAAAUGUGUGCCAACAUGACAUAAAAUAACCCCUACAAGAAAAGAGCUUUAUUUAAAAAAAUAAGAAUUUUAUUGUGUCAAUAAAAAAAGUAAAUGUACCUCACAACACAUGAGUUGGUGGUCUACAGUUUAUCAAAGAGGAGGCUUCCAUCCAUUCCUGCCCUUGCUUGAAAGUGUAUUUUUGUUUUUUGUUGGACUAUCACAACCCUAUAAUUAAGUUUUUUUGUUAUCCUAUUUUUCAUGUGUGUUUCCUGUUUUAUUUUGAUACUCACCUCUAUGUCUGAUAUAUUCAGAUUCUACACCUCCUGCCCUCCUGUGUUCCCAGUGUGUAGUGACCGGACCCUCUCUAAUGUGUUUCACCUGUGUCUGAUUGUCUUCACUCACCUUGAGUAUUGAGUCUGUUUUCCCCUGCCUCAGUGCCAGUUUGUCUCUUGCUGGUGUGACUUACAUCACAGCCUUUUUUUUUCCAUUUUUAGAGAUCUUUUGUGACUGACCUUUGCCUUCUUUUUGUACCUGUGUGAGCCUUCUGAUUUUUGACAGCUUUUGAAGUCAAGCCUUUGAACAUUUUCCCCUGGUGCCAGAGUCGUGCAUUUUUUUCCCCUUUGUUUGGCCAAUCAUUUAUGUAGGAGGACCAUAGUGUUGUAUCACACCGGGCACAAAGUUAAGAAAGUGGUAGACCAACAACUCCUGUUUUGACAACUGAAGAUCCUAAGAGGCUUUGACUACAUCAUGUUUCUUGAGAAUUUAAAAUAAACAAAAUAAAAUAAAAUGUUACCUCACAAAAUAUGGGAGUUGCUUCUCUACCUUGCCUUUUAUUGAUUAGUUUAUGCCUCUGUGUGACUUGCUGUUUGAAAUGGGGAGAAGUGAUCCAAAUAAGAUAUUUUGGAAGCAAUAAUGCAAAAGGGGCAAAGUGACAGGAGUUGUUGGUCUACCACCAGAUAUCUACAGGGUAAAAUUGGGCUCUCAAACACUAAACAAAACGCCCAAGGUUUAAGGAAUCAAAGAAUCACACUGAAACCUUAAGUAUGUCACUGUGUAACUCAGGUGUUGUUUCUACAUACCCAGUUAUUUUUAAAAACAGAGACAUUAACCAUCAUUUGCACCUUUCGUUUGGACACAAAUGGAGAAUUCGCCCCUGAAAACGAUGCUUUUUGCAGAGUGGAGAUUUUAGAAAACUGUGUUUGCAUGUAAACAGAGAAAAACUGACAACAACAGAUUGUGCACCGAACACUGGGUUAAAUGGGACAUUGUUUACAAUCUACAGUCUAUGUUUACAAUCUAUAGUGAUCAUGGAUACAUGCAGAAUAGCUGUCGCAUUUUUGCUGGCACAAUCCCUUUGUAUUUGUUUGCAUUUGCAAAUACAAGUGCUGUAAUAUGUGGAGGAGCAGAGACGACUGAGUGCUCAAAGAACAGCAAUGUUGCGACAACUUCUCCCUCCGACACAAAGAGUGUGUCCGCGUCGCCGCCAGCCUUGCCAGUUUUGGGUCUGACCUGGGCGCACUGCUGUCCGGUGGGAGAACUUCGAAAAUGAAGUGGUUCUGCCGUGAGUGGCGUGAAAAUUUCCAGAUUUCAUGGGCAUCACUGCUGUCACUCUUCGAGUUGCUGCGUCCCUACGUCAAGGCUGAUAACACCAUUGUGUGGUCCUCUGUCAGUGUCACAAAAAGAGUUGCCUGCACCCGGUAUUACCUGUCCGAUGAGGGUAGACUACGCAAAACAGCCAAUGCAUUACAGCCUACAGGUUUGGCAUGCUCUUGAUGGCAUAUACACACAGGUUAGUGUAAACGAAAGCUGUGGAGAGGGUGAAAUUUCCGUUUAUGAAAAUGGCUGGGGACAUCUAAAUGUAGUCUCACCGAACUCUACGUUUGCUCUGUGCUUCAUACUGCUGCAGUUCAUCUCACAGCUUCCUUUCGUGUUUUAACGUUAUUAACACCUCAUUAUGGCGCAGAGCGGCUGCCACCACACUGCAGGUCUCACAGAGCCACUCUCACAAAGUCAUAUAAUACUCAUAAUUACCUGUGAGAGGAUCUCAGUUUCACUUAGAAAGAGCUUACUCGUUGUGCGAGUGCAGCAGGUAAGGGAUUAGAUCACUUUCAAUUCCUCCCACCGUCAUCAUUUGAAAGUCAAAUCAAUGUGAAAAGCGUGCAUGUAGCUGGAAGUGUGCAUUAACUCGUUUGUAGACGUAAUGCUCUGUAUUAUAGUCUCAGUCAUGGAUCUGAGUUGCAGUAUUUCCUGAGCAGUGCAGGUGCUAAAUACUUCAAAUACAUUUCGAGCACUCAAAAGAAACGAAGAUGCGCGUUUGAAAAGGAACCCGGCGUUUCAGCUUCCGUCAUGUGAAUGUCUGAACGUACUUCAAAACACGUCUGAGACACUUCACGGUGGAGUGCUUAUGAGAUGCAGGGAGUUGCAUAAAAUGAUGAUGAGCAGCUGAUAAUCAAAUGUUGUAAAGAAAUGAAGAGGAAGCCAAAUAUGUGAAUUUUCUGCAAGUAUUGGAGGAAUGAAGAAGUGAAAUUGAUGCAUUAUCUACUGAGAUUUUUACUCUCUUUUUACAUUUAUUCAUUCGGCACAAUUCCCAAAGUUUGAUUUCCUUGUUCACAUAUUUAAUUCUUUGUUUUAAACCUUUUUUGACAUGUGGUGUAAGUUCUUGACGUCACAACUCUUUCUCAAACUGAAUAGUAUUUUUAACCACAGUUUUCAUCAUUUGCCUUACACUAACAUCAAAAGCCUGACUGGAUGCAAGUCAAGUUUUAUCCCCGUCCCCCAUCCCUCUGCAUAUCAGGUUCAUGCUACAGCAGAACUAGGCUAAAGGCUUAUUUAUGCUCGCCAUAUGAAUGAAAACGUACGCGUCCCUUUUAAAUGACAGUUCCAUCACCGCCCACAUGCUUCUAUGCGUCCUUUAUGUUGGCAUAGAUAUUGACCAUUACAUCCACUAGGGGGCAGGCAGGAGUCAAAAGUUUCUGACAACAACAAACAAACAAAAAGAAAGGUGACUGUGGAGGAGCUAUUGGUGGUCAGUUGGGCCAUUAAAUGCCUUGUUGUUGGAGGAAGGAGAAUUCUUUUCUCUAGGAGUACAGAUGAGAGAAACUGGCGACAAUCGUCAUUUUUAGUACUUGAGGAUGUCCACCGGGGCAUUCGACAUUUGACAUCCAGCACCACAAGUCACACAGCGCACCUGUGAGUGGUGCAGACUGACAAGCUGUCACCCUGCACUCUCUCCCCCCCACAGUUUCCUUCUGGUACUGCUCCUUCUGGCCCGUACCCGUAAACUUCAAGGAUACAUGCAGAAAUACGGACGAAAAAGAAUGCGAAGCACUGACAGAGAGCUCCGUCCGUAUGUUGAACAUAAAUAAGCCUUUAGCAAACUGACCCAGACAUCCUGCUUCCCAGCAACAUUUCCAGCUCCUGCCAGGGUAUUCAGAGGCACCCGUCGGUCAGAUAGGAUUUGAAAUCCCCCUGCAAGCUCUGGGCCUCCUUCCACAAGUUGGACAUAUCAGGAAAUCCUCUGCAUGAAGGCAUCCAGGAGGCAUCUCUAUCAGAUGAGGGAAUGAUUUGGAUUUGAAGGUGUAUCACACCUGACCCUACCUCCUUUAGAUAUCCUCGAAGGAAGCCUUGCUUGUAAAUAAGAUCUCAGAUGCUUUUUGGAAAGUAGUUUUCACCAAGUAUGAGUGCAGAGCAAGGGCAUCAUUCCUGAGCCAAGAGACUCAGAGCCAAAGAGAGUGUAGGAACAGCGCAUAAUGAAAUCUCUAAACAAUAACAAGAUGUCUGUCAUGACAUCUGUAGUUCCAGCGUCUUAUUAAUUCUCUCUGAACAAGCCGAGGACAGCCCUGUAGUCUGCACUUCAUCCUGUGAUCCAAACAGCAUCAGCAGAAAGAGGCUCUGUGGUUCAUAAUGUGAUGCUGUAACAUGAUGAGGGUCCUCUCACAGCAUGGAGGCACAAGGUGAGCUGUAUAAUAGUUGUACUUGAAGCUGUUUGACUCUUUUGUUGUAGAAAUAACAGGCAGCUAGCAGGUAUCGAUGUCUUCCUGCAGAGAAGACGCACUGAUCAAUAAGAGCGUCUGUAAACUCUGAGUAUGAGUUAGGUCAAGGAAGUUGAUGAAAAAAGACAAAUCUGGAUGACCUAAAAAAAAGGGAGGAGAAGAAGAAAAAGAGGAGGAAGACGAAGGUGAUGAAGAAAAAGAUGACAAAAGAAAAGGUUAAUUGAAAAAUAUGUUAAGGAAGAAGACAGCAGGGUAAAACUGUAAGAAAGAGGAGACAGACAGGAUAUGGAUCUGAAAAUAUGACGGAGGAUGAAGGAGGAGAAGGAGGAGACAGAAAAAAAGACGAAGAGGAUGAAAGGAAAAAUAUGAUAAAGAUAUAAAAGCAGAGUCCAAUGAGAGUGAGAAAGGCAGAGAAAAGAGAAGACAAAAGACAAAGGGCUCUAUUUUUGUUUCUCGCCGGUGUUCCGGUUCUGCAAACUUUAGCGCUUUUCACAUAUAUUGACAACCAGAGAUCCCGACCAAACUGUCCACUCAAAUAAGCACUAAAAAAAUAAAGAUAAAAACAUUAUGAUAAACACAGCUGGACGUCGCAAGGAGGACUCGAUCUUAUAACGCAAUUAAGAACGAGCAACGAGGGGCGAGCGCGCCGCUGUAACGCAACAGAUCGGCUUACUGAGCAGCUCGUGUACCUCAUACUUGUCAUUCACUGUUUCCAGGGUGUCACCACAUAACCUGCUCCUAUAGAGAAACACGCCCAUGUUAGCUGGUGACAGCAGUAGCAUCUGUUAAAUUGUGAGCAUCGGUGAUCAUUUUAAUUAUGGAUCUUUUUUUGCAAAGUCUAAGACCACGGUCACAUUGAUUGGCGUGUCACAGUGUAUCACGUUUCAUUGGAAAAAGCACAUGUUAACUUGUGAGAUGUUUGUGUGGUAGGUUGUGAUAAUCCACCAUGACACAAUGUCAGCGUUUUUUAAAAUUAUCAUGCAGUCAUGCAGCAUCACUGGAUUUGCGUCUCAAAAACGCAAGUCAGCCAUGUGCUUCAAUAGAGACGUGCACCUGUUCCAUAUAUUUCACUGUCGUGCCAGAUGUGAUCCUUCUAAACGUGCAAAAGGCAUCUGACUUUGAUGGCCCCACAUGAUGUUGCAAUGGGUGUUCUACCCUUCUGUAGCUCCUAACUAAUUAGGACCACAACACCUACAGUAUGUAUUCAGUAACAUAUUUUGGAUUUAUUUUUUUUUUUAAAUCAUUAAGAAAAAAAUAAAAUAAAAUCAUAUGUGCAGUCAGCCAAUCAGAGCAACCAGUACUUCAGCCACAAUCAAGGAACACCUGGUUAGGCCAAAAAAGAUAUUAAUAGGGGUUUCCAAACAAUUUUGACUUGUUCCAAGUUAGGGGAUCGACAGUGCAAAAAAGAGAGAGAGAGAGAGAGAGAGAGAGAGAGAGAGAGAGAGAGAGAGAGAGAGAGAGAGAGAGAGAGAGAGAGAGAGAGAGAGAGAGAGAGAGAGAGAGAGAGAGAGAGAGAGAGAGAGAGAGAGAGAGAGAGAGAGAGAGAGAGAGAGAGAGAGAGAGAGAGAGAGAGAGAGAGAGAGGUGAGUGAGGUAGUAUAUUGCAGUUGUUUGUUGUCUAGCUUGUGUUUUCUGUAUUGUUUUGUGUGACAUUGUGUUGUGUGUAGGCCUUGUGGUGCGUUCUUCUUGUCAUUGUUGUAUAUUUUGUGUGUCCAGUCUGACUGUCGUGUUGAUUUGUGUCUAAUUGUAUGCUUGUUACCUGUUGUGUUUUACAUCUGUGUUUUUGAUAUUUGUGCUGUUGUGUUUUAUGUAAAGUAGUGGUCAGGUAAGCUCGAAGAAAGCUAAGCUAAGGUAUGGACAUUGUGUGUUUUAUUAGUAAGUGCGAGAGGUGAGUUGUGUUUGUGUAAAAGGUAAGUUACAGUAAGGCUGGUAGGUAAGAUUAAGUUAAGUUGAAAGUAACAGGUAAGAAAAACAGGUAGGGCUGAUGAUAGGGCUAAGUAGCCAGAUAAGUACUCAGGUAAGAAGAUUUUAGGUAAGAGUAGGCCUAUUCAGGUAAGUUUAGGGAUGGACAGGGACCGUGUCUGAGAGAUCACCAAUUAUUUGGUGGAUAAUAUCUACCCGGAAGUGUGUUCCUCCCGAGGCCGAUUCAUCAUCCGCCGUAGAUGUGAGAACUUCCUCAUACGAGGUAAGAAAAGCCUGAAUAGCAGAUUGUACGGUGUAAGGUGGUCACCUCACCUCAGGAGGCAGAUGACAUUUUUAAAGCCUUCCAUGCUAGCCAGCAUAGAGGGCAUUGUGGGAUGGAGAAAACAUUAGAAUCAAUUUCUAGAAGGUACUACUGGCCUGGCAUGGAAAAAGACAUCCAGCAAUGGAUGAGUUGAAAUGUAAUUGUGAUCAGUCUACUCUUUGUGAUGUCUGGCAUCAAUUGGAUUCACCUUCCUGUGGGGUCUGCUUUGAUUCAGAUAAAGGAGUGUCCGGAAUGCCAGGCCAAGCCUACAUCUCAAUUGAGGUAGAUGAAAAUACAAACCUACUUUCCAACAGAAUGAAGAUUUCUUAAUAUCAUGUGUAUUUUCAUUUAGGUGACCGAGCCACUGGAGCUGGUGGGGAUGGACCUGGUUGGAAAACUGACUAGGACCAAAAAUGGCAAUCAGUACAUUUGUGUGAUGAUUGAUUAUUUUACCAAAUGGACAGAGGCGUAUCCCCUGCAGUCGAAAUCAGCAGCUGAGGUUACACAUUGUGUGUUGGUUUUUUUCUGUAAAUUUGGAGCACCAAAACGGUUGUUAACAGACCAGGGUAAAGAGUUUGUUAACCAGGUAAGAGUGAGUGAGUGAGUGAGUGAGUGAGUGAGUGAGUGAGUGCAUUUCAUGUUUUAUUGUUUUCUGACAGGUCAACUACAGUGUCUGCAGCUCUUUGGAGAUAAAAAGGAGCCUUUGUGCCCCUUAUCAUCCCCAAACAAAUGGCUUGGUGGAGAAAAUGAAUGGCACCAUUCAAAGGUUUGAUGAAGGUCUUUGACUAUCAUUAAUAUCAUUACCUUUUUGAGUCACAUUGUAAGUGUGUGUGUCUGUGUAUAUCUGUGUGUAGUAUUUCCUUACAAGAAACCGACAAACCCAACACAUGAGAUGUACACCUGCAAUCCACCCUGUUUGCACUAAGAACCAAAAAACAGUUGACCACCCAAUUUUCCCCGUAUUUGGCAGAGAGGCCAGAUAUCCCACCGAAAUACCAGAGGAGUGUGAGGUAUGGACAAUGAAUUGGUGGUAACAUUUAUUUGAUAUGACAUAGCCAUUUAGGAAGUGACACGAUGCCUUACUGCUGCAGGUAACGCAUGAUGUUGUCGAAAAAAUGAUAAGGACAAAGAAAAUGUCGGAUAGGCUGCAGGCCUUAGAUUGAUGCCAUGAGAAGGCCCUGGAAAACACUCAAAAAGUUAGAGAGGUCCUGAAAAGAAAGAGGGAAGAAGAGGGCCAGGUUGACCAUUUUCAGGUAGGGGAUCUGGUCCUGAGAAAAAACAUAAGAGAGGAACAGCGAAAGGGUGGGAAGAUGGGCCGAGGAAUGUUGGGGCCAUUUAAAAUCAUCAACAUUGAAAAUAAAAGUGUUGACUUUGUCUCUGAAAAGGGGAAGACUACUUUAAAGAUCAAUAUUGAUCAAUUGUCUCAUUACAUCGAGCCAAAAAAGAGGGUCCCACGUCAUUGGAGAGAAGGGGAACAACCACCAGCAACAGCUUCACCGCCACCAUCAUCUCCAUCUCCACCAGCAGCUCCCUCCCUGCCAACUACAGCUCCACCCCCCCUCAUUCUGACUGUGUGGGGAAUCGCGAUCAUGAUAAGGAGUAUUUCUGUCCUGCAUGCAGUUUCAAUAAAUAAUCCUUUUAAAAAAGUCCAGUGUUUCAUGGUCGAUCUUCACAAUUUAUCACACAUGCGUCUCACAAGUUAACAUGGGCUCUUUACACUUAGACAUGGUACAUUGCGAUACGUCCAUGAGUGACCGCUGUUGCAGACUUUUAAGAAGAAAUGGUGUGUAUUAUGAGAUGGUCGUCACAAUAUAACACGGGCAAGCUUCUGGAGUCACCAGCUAACAUGGACGUGUUUCUCUAUAGGAGCAGGUUAUGUGGUGACACCCUGGAAACAGUGAAUGACAAGUAUGAGGUACACAUGCCGCUCAGUAAGCCGAUCUGUUGCAUUACAGCAGCGUGCUCGCCCCUCGUUGCUUGUUCUUAUUUGCGUUGUGAGUUCGAGUCCUCCUUGCGACAUCCAGCUGUGUUUAUCGUAAUAUUUUUAUCUUUAUUUUUUUUAGUGCUUAUUUGAGUGGGCAGUUUGGUCGGGAUCUCUGGUUGUCAAUAUAUGUGAAAAGCGCUGAUGUUUGCAGAGUUUUUCUCCUUGGAAGUGCCGGCGACCGAUCGGUUCGGACUGAGGCUUUUGUGGCGAAUCUGCAGAACAGACAACAUCUGGUUCAGAUUUACUGAAAAUCUCACCACUUAAUAUGAUCACCAGGUAAACCGGAACACCGGCGAUGUGGCGUAGGCGUGGCGUAAGACAGGUCCGCUGCUUCAACAAGGCGUGCCCAAGCACAUUUUGGUAUUUUGGUGAGUGGCGCAGCCCGGCGUAAGUAUCCCCCUCCCUAACUCAGCUCCUCCCAGCGGCGUAAGUCGUAGCGAGGGAGGAGAGAGGGCGUGGAGUGGAUUUAACACAGCCGAGACCUGUUUUUGCCAAUCAGAACCCUUCCUCUCCUCACCUUUAAAUCCACCACGGUGAGGCGUGUUACAAUUUUCGUGAAGUAGUCAAAGAGAUCAAGAGAUGUCUCAAGACAGCAAUGCCACACAACAGAAGGCUGACCAGGUUUGAAUUGGCGAGCUUUCAGCGCACUUUCUAUGCCGCCAGCGGGCACGAAAAUGUCACUGUGCCAGUUGAUUCUGUUGACACCUCCCCCUACCGUGCCACGCCCAGCUUGGCAAACCUCGGUGCGCCUCAGUCCACGAAAAUACCAAACUUGCUGUGCACCGGGCUCCGCCAGACGAAAAUACUACUGCGCAGGGUGCGCCACCCUCCGCCGUGUCACCAGCGGGCCCGAAAAUAGAGCCCAAAGAGUCAUCAGAUAAGUAAAACAAGAAGAAAAAGACAACAGAGGCAUGUUGCAUUCACAAAAAAAAAAAGAGAAGAAGAAGCUCUGUUUUUCAGUCAUUUUUAUUCUGUUCUGUUUUUCCAACUGAUUUUUUUUCAGAGUAUUUUUAUUUUUUGCUUAUGUGACUAAAAAUGUUACAAAAAAAUUUGUCUGAAAAACAGAAAGAGGGGGAAAAUAACUGUACAACAAAAAAUGAAGAAAAAAAGUCAGAAAAACAGAAACAGAAAGAAGAUAAAAUUAGUCUGAAAAACAGCAAAGAAAAAAAUACUCAAAAAAAAACACACUUAUAUACACUUCCAUAGAAGACAACACUGACUUAGAAAUAAAGAAGAGAGAAGAGUGUGUUCAUUUAGACAGAAACACUGAAAUUUAUUUGACUCAUUUCCAGAUUCACCCUCCUGCUGCCAAGAAAGAAACCACCCGAGCACUCAGCGUGGAUUUAACUGCUGCUGAAGAUAGACCCUCAGAAUCCACCGACUAUUUUCAUCCGUUAUAAAACAUUCAAAAAAACCACAACAAGCAAAUGUUUCAGGGGAUAUUUGAGUCUUUGUUUGAGUCAUCCACACACAGUCUUUUGUUUGUGCUUUUCAAAGAGAUUUUGUGAAAGAAACUAAACUGUUUUUCUCCACAGGGAGCUGCGGCUGGAGUAAUCUCUGUUUACAUCAUGGAUAUCUGGCAGCACAGAUCCUCUCUGUGUGCCCAGGCUCAUUAUAUCAUAAGGAGGUUUACAGUCUUUGAUUUACACGUCAUGUGACCUGGUAUUUCCUCGGCACUGGAGGGCCAUGUUGGCUUCGCGUGACUGGUAACAACAGCGCAUUCAGACCCGGCUUGGCACCAUAACGGAGCACAUUUCGUUCGAGCCGGAGGCCUGGACGUCGUCACAAUGAUGCAGCAAAAAAGCGAGUGAAAAAUGAAAAACACCUUCCCGUUCUUUCUUCUCCGGAUGUCGCACACAUGCUGCACUCCCGGCAGAAUGAUCCGCUGCACAACCUAUCAGCUCCUACACAGAAAACAGACUGCAUUCACAUUUGUUUUACACUGCUGCACACUGCUCCAGAGGUGUGUUUUCCCCAGAAAAAGACCAGGACUGCCAGCCAUCCCGGAGAUGCAUUCCCAUUGGAAAUCCCCAACACGAGACAAACAAACAUCCUCCUCGCGAUACAUUAGCUAUUCAUUCACAUUUGCAUGCUUCUGUCAGAGGCUGCCAAGACUCGCUCUCUGUGCAAUGCUAAUCAAUUCCUGCAGCGGCUGGAUAAGACCGCUGCACCCUCCCUUUGAGCACCAGCCAACACUAAUAUGAAUGGCUCAUUUGCAAUGUAAAACAAGAUCAAUUAGUAAUCCAGCAUGGAGUGUGCAUGCAAACCACCCGUUAACCUCCGAUGUGAAAACCUGCUUGUUGAACUGCCGGUCUGCGCUGCUGUUUUGUGUCUAACAGGAUUACACAGUUCUGCAGAGCAUUGUGAGGCUAUGAAGGAAUCUUUCCCUCCAUUACCAAAAUAAAGGAAAGCUCCAGCACAAUAGAGUCAAACAAUAUCUCCACACUGCUGCAGACCUUUCCUUUCAGCUCUUUAUUGAGGUCACUGUGAUUGCGCGGAAUUCAGACGCCUCUGAAUGCAUCGUGAACUUUGUACCUCGGAUUGAAACGAGCCAUAAUGUUUCAAACCUUGUCCGUCAGUCUUUGUCUCGACCUUUCUCUGCUUCUGCGAGCAACAGAAAAAAGAUUACCGUGGACUUAGUGAUGCCGAGGUUGAGGACCUCAUUUAGGGGAUACUGCAUCUUUUAUCCCAUCCUGCAGCCGAGCACAGAGCUCCCUCCUUUACCCUCCUGCAGUGUUCGUAUAACAAAAAGACACUCUUUGGUGUCAGGAAUGUUUAAUUAUCUUGUUAAAGCACAAAAAGGAUUGGGGUGUCCGGAGAUCAGAGGCUGUAUCACUGCAAGGAUUGGGAGUCAUAUCUGUGAGCUCUGCAGAUGCUCCACAGGAGCAGGACUCAGGCAGUAAGAGGAGUUAGAUUAAAUUUCUAACUUUUUAGCUGCCUGCCCCAUCAAUCCAUCAUUCUUCCAUCCUUUUACCUCUUAUCUUGUGUCCACUCAAAGUCAUUAUUUCCUGUCUGGCUCGGGCUCAUCAUUUUCAGCCUUAAAUAAUCAAAUGAAUGUAUAAAAGUAAUUCUAAUUCUUCAUUUUAAAAGUCUUGAUAUUGCCCAUGCAGUCGCCCUGGUGCAUAAUCUCUUCUGUGCAGGUUAUUGGUGUUUUAAAUUCCACUGCCAUGAAGAUGUCUUAAUAAAAACAUUUAAUUGCUACUAAAUUUUAGCAGCAGAACUUCACAUUUCUGCUCAGUGGAAUAAGGAUUUGGCAAACCCAUCCCUGGAAUACUUAGGAUGAUGCAGAAAAUGUUGAUAAAUCAGGAUUUGAUGGUUUACAAAUCAUUUAAGCCUAUAUUUAAUUGUAUGUACAGAUCUUGUACAGACAGGACUCGUCGUUGUUGUUUUCUUCCGCUUGAUCCAGGUCCGGGUCACGGGGGCAGCAGCUUCAGGAGGGAAGCCCAGAUGGCCCUCACCCCAGCCACUUCCACCAGCUCCUCCAGGGGGGAUUCCCAGGCGCUCCCAGGCCAGGCGAGAGAUAUAAUCCCUCCACCUGGUCCUGGGCUGGCCAUGAGGUCUCCUCCCGGUGGGACAUGUCUGGAACACCUCUAACGGGAGGCGUCCGGAAGGCAUCCUAACCAGAUGCCCGAGCCACCUCAGCUGACUCCUCUCAAGGUGGAGGAGCAGAGGUUCUACUCUGAGCGCCUCCCGAGUGUCCGAGCCAAUUACCCUAUCUCUAAGGCUGAGCCUGGCCACUCUUUGAAGGAAACCCAUUUUUGCCGCUUGUAUCCACAAUCUUGUUCUUUCGGUCAUUACCCAAAGUUCAUGGCCAUAGGUGAGGGUCCGCAUGUAGAUCGACGGGUAAAUCGAGAGUCUCGCCUUACGGCUCAGCUCUUUCUUCACCACGACCAAAUCACUGUUGAUGCCGCUCCGAUCUGCUUGUCGAUCUCCCGUUCCAUCCUACCCUCACUCGUGAACAAGAUCCCGAGAUACUUGAACUCCUUUACUUGAGGCAAGACCGCCCCUCUGACCUGGAGAAGGACUUGGAGGUGCUGAUUCACAUCCCAGCCGCUUCACACUCGGCCGCGAACCGCCCCAGCAAGAGCUGAAGGUCACUGCUCGAUGAAGCUAGAAGCAACACAUCAUCCGCAAAAAGCAGCAACGCAAUCCUCUCCCUGCCGAACCUGGUAGGCAGGACUCUGGAGUGGAAAUCACCGGACAGUUCAUCACUGCAACCACAAAUGAGGUUAACACUAGACCAUGUGAAGAGGAAAAGAGAUUGAAACCUGAUCCAGAAACACCAGAGUCUUCUCUGGACCCGGGACCUUUUUGGAUUGACUGAGGGGAAGAGGAAAACUGUCCUGUGGUCUGAUGGAUCAAGAUCUGACAUUUUUAUGGAGCCCUAUGGAUCCCACACCCUUCCCCUUGAAGAGUAGAGGGAUGAUCUGGUGUGUUACCAGCUCCCAUUCCAAAGCCAGCAUUCCUGAUGGUAUGAGGAUCAUCAGAGUCCAUGUCAUGGGUUGGUUCCACAUCCUUGAAGGCUCCAUUAAUGCUGAAGAAUAUCUACCGGUUUAGGAGCAACAUCUGCUGACAUCCAGACAAAGACUUUUUCAGGGGAGACCUUUAUUUUUGAGCAAACCUCAUUCUACAGAGAUUACAACAGCAUGGUACUGUAGUAGAAGUGUCCUGCCGAUAAGCUGGACUGAUGCAGUCCUGACUUGUCACCCAUUGAAAACAUUUGGAGCAUCAUGACACCAAAAACAAGACAAAGGAGACCCUGAACUGUUGAGCAGCUGAAAUCCUCUAUCAGACAAGAAUGGGACAUCAUUUGAAUUGAGCUUCUGUAAACAUGGAGAGUAAAAGGUUGUAAUUACUCCCUGUGGUCGCUGCAGUAAUGCUAACAGAGUAAAUCCCCUCAGACUGCUGCUCAUUGACAGUGUAAUAACUCUCUAUUGGACUCUUGUAGCACCCAUGGGAGUCCUGCUGCAGAGUGGCUCUCUCUCACCUCUGUGUGUGCAGAUCUUAGAGUAAAGAUUUACACAUGAAUGGAUUUAUUUGAUAAUGGCCGUCAUUGAUUAACAUGACAAUGAAAAUCAUUGGACCAAUGAAAGGUGAUUUAGACCUGACCUUUCUUAAUGGGUCACCAUUUCUGUUUCGAGGUGUCGUUCCCGUGUCAAUGAAAAUAUGCAUAAAGUUCACUCUGCUGUGAAUUCAUAGCUUCUCCGAUCCUCAUUCAUGUGUGUCUUUAAGCUUUUAUUCUUCAGUCAAUGCAAAGGAAAGGAGCGAGAACAUUUUUACGCUGCUUUUAUAUCCACAUCUUAAAUUCUCUGUGUCAUAAGAAAGUUACAGCAUUUCUCGAGGAGCACCUCUUCAGACUGUUGAAUUAGCAUACAAACAGAAAGUCCUUUGUGUCAGAUUGUCUGCAAACCAAAUCUUCUAUUACAUGUCUUGUUGCAAAGCACACAAGCUUUUUUUUUUAAGUCGAUACCAACCAUUAACAUCUUAUUCUAUUUUUGAUUUAACCAGAUAACAGCAAUUGAGAUCGAGAUCUCUUUUACAAGGGUGACCUGGCCAAGAGGUCAGCAGCAUACGCCAAUAAUAAUACAAUUCAGAGACAGAACAAGUUCAAACAAACAAAUACCUGUGUAUCUUUUUAAUGUCUGUACUAGUUAAACUGCUCAUUCUGUCUACUCUUGCUUCUUCCUCUGCAAACAGCUUUGUCGCUGCUCUCCCUGCCUUCACCUUUCAUGCAUGCUCAUGCAACAGAUAUGAAAACCUGUUUGAGCAUUUAGGUCAGUCCCUGAUAUCAAGCAUUGAUUUGCACAGAUAUACUGCUUUUUUGUAGUUGGAUGCUGAACCCUCGGAUUUUAGCUCUCAGAACAAAGCCUUAACUAUUUUUAUGCAAACGUCCAAGUUAGACAUUUUUGCUCCUUUAAGUGUAUUUUUUAAGAUUUUUUUAAAAGACAAUGGUUAUUGUUCAUAUUUUAGUAACGUUUUCCCACUGUAACUGAACCUUCCCUCGUCCUUUUCUCUUUUUAUUAUUUUUUAAUCCAUUUUAUUUUUAAAAGUGAACUCUGACGUGAAAGGUGGAAAACCAUCUCAAGUCCUACAUUAAAAAAAGAAAAUUUGGCACAUCUUUGCCUUUUUGGAAUUUUGAAUUAAGGUCUGUACACACCAGGAGCAUUUUUUUUUGUGCAAUUAUUUCGGACGUCAAUAUUUUUUUCGAACCCGUAUCCUGUCAAUACAAGCAUUCACAUCAGCGACGUUUUCCUGUCCCGCAAUAUUGCGGCAUUUCAUUUUUGGUUUAGUUUUGCAUACUGUGUGUCCACUUCUGACCAAUCAGAUUGUGUGUUGUUGUAAUGUCAGAUUCACCAGUAUACCCAACAUGGCCGACCGGCUGAUUGUUGAUGUGUCAGAGAACAGAGUGCUUUUUGAUUAAAAAAAAAUUAAAAUACACAAAUAUUAAGAUAACGACUUAAGGGACAACUUGUCGGAUCUCUCAUAUGACGAUAGUUUGUGUGCUUUAACAGUUUGCUAAACGUCUUUGUUUUAACUUUCAUCUAUGCUAAGUAACUUUAGCUCGUAAGCUAACCUGUUCAGAUACAACAUACCAUAUGUAUUUUCACUGUCUCAAACUCAAUCGUGUUGCUGUCACAGCACCAUUAGGUCUCGGUUGUUACCUUAUGUUUAUGGAUUAUAGUUUAAUGUGUUUAUCUGGUACUGGCCCCGACUCAGUACAUGCUAUCAUGACAGACAGACAUCUCAACACUAGUGUCUAAUCAGAACUGAAAAACAGUCAGUCUGCUGUUGUGUCAGUCUUCUCGCUUUCACCCGGGACGUGUCUUUCUUCCUCCUGGAAAGUUGCAAAAUCGUAUCGCACUUGAUGUGUAUAGUCAGGCGCGUCAAAAUUCACCUCUGGAUAUUUUGGAAUUUCGCGUCAUAUAUUUGCGUCGUUCCCGGUGUGAAAGGACCUUUAAAUGUAAAGUUUCAAUGUUGGUAUAAUGUUUAUAGUGAGUCUAUUUCAACUGAUUUAUCUUUUUAGUUGUAUUUGUAAAUAAAAAAAUAAGCUUUUAGAUAGUUCAAACCCUCUAUACACUCAAGUUUGAUUGGACAAAUUCGUCUUUAAACAAGUGUUAAAAAAAUGUGAAACAUUUGCUUCCACCAUGACAUUUGGUUUGACUUUUCUCUCUCCAUCUUCAUACAUGACAUUCUGUCUCUCCAUAUAUCAGUGCAGUUGCAGCUGUUUAAUGUCUCAGCUGCUUUUAUCACCAUUAUCUUAAAAAAAAGCAUCAUAGCUUUGCUCACUUUUGGAUCAUUUUGUCCUGGACAUGGGCACGUCGACUGUCUGCUGUUGUGCAUUCUAAAGUCUAGACCAUGAACGAAAGAGGAUCCCACUUUUACAGCUAUACUUGAAGGGGAAAAGGUUGUAUAUUUGGGUCAGCACAACACUUUCAAGCCUCCUGAGCAAUUUUUCGUCAAUAAAUGCAGCAGCACCAAUAUCAAAACAUCUCUCAUAGUGUUUCUGAUUCGAGAAAAUUCACUUGGGGCAUCUACAAUCUAGUUAUUUCAGACAACAAGCCUUGAAAUGUGCUGUGGAAAAAGUGCACCACUCCUCUGUUCACCCACAUGUUCCCGUAAUAACAGGAGUCAAUAAAGAAGCAGUCAGUGUGUCUGUAUCAUGAAGGAGUCGUGGUUUUUGUUGCAGAGAAAGACAAGCCAACGGAAAGACUGUCCACGAGAUGGUUCAUAAUGGGUUUUUCAGUUAUGGUGAAGAACAUUAACUCUGAUGUCUUUUCUCUGCCUGUGUCUUCAGAUGCAUCUUUAUGUUUGCAUAUAGAAAGCUCAGGUGUGUUUGAGUGUGCGAGAGAGGAUCCUGAUAAGCUGCAGCAGUGCCGAGGUGUGAAGCUGUGCAUCUUAAUCCGCUCAGGUGAGCGUGUGAUGGAGCGCUAACACUCCGUGAACACUCUGAGAUGAAAACGCGGUGACAUGCUGCUGAGGUGUGUGUUUGAAGACGAGCCAGUGCAAUCUUUGCAUCAGCUCUGCAUCACAUUAUUCUGGAUUAUAAAGCAGAGGGGCUGAGGUUUGUUCCCAGCACAGAGCUCUAUGGAUUCUGCUUCAGCGUCUUUUAUGGAGCUGCUGGUACUGAAGAGCAUCACACCGAGAAGACCAUCAGAUCUGGUUUGGAAGUUUUAGAGGACGAUCAUUUGCAUGGUCGUGUUCACACUGUGCAUACUCCAGAAAUCAAUUUGCUUGUUCUAGUCUAACAUAAUGUGUCUGAUGGUGUUUACUGAUGCAUUUGAUGUUAAUUCUGCAUCUGUACCACUGUGGACUGUCUGUAAAAUAAAGCAAAGUCAAACACAUUACACAAUCAUGUCUUACUCUUGCAAAAUCAGAAAUGCUCUAAAAAAAAAAAAAAAAAAAGGUCCUUUCACACAGGAAGCAUUUUUUUUUUUUUACAUGCGUUUAUUUCGGACGUCAAUAUAUCUUUUUCGAACCCGUAUCCUGUCAAUACAAGCGUUCAAAUCAGUGACAUUUUCCUGUCCUGCGAUGUUGCAUAAUUUUUUUUUUUUGCAUCAUGGUCGAUUUUUCUAAAGUUUCGCAUACUGUGUGUCCACUUUUGACCAACCAGAUUGCGUAUUGUUGCGAUGUCAGAUUCAACGGUAUAUCCAACACGGCCGACCGGCUGAUUGUUUACGUGUUGGAGAACAGAGUGCUUUUUGAUAAAAGACACAAAUAUUACAAAAGGUAACGACCUGAAGGACAACUUGUGGAGUCAUAGCGUCGGAUCUCUUAUAUAACAAUGGUUUGUGUGCUUUAACAGUUUGCUAAACGUUAAAGCACAGCGAAAAUACAUAUGGUAUGUUGUAUCUGAACAGGUUAGCUUACGAGCUAAAGUUACUUAGCACAGAUGAAAGUUAAAACAAAGAUGUUUAGCAAACUGUUAAAGCACACGAACCAUCGUCAUAUGAGAAAUCCAACACUAUGACUCUCCACAAGUUGUCGUUCAGGUCGUUAUCUUUGUAAUAUUUGUGUUUUUUUAUCAAAAAGCACUCCGUUGAUACAUAAACAAUCAGCCGGUCAGCCAUGUUGGAUAUACCGGUGAAUCUGACAUCACAACAACAACAACAACAACAACAACAACAACAACAACAACAACAACAACAACAACAACAAAUCUGAUUGGUCAGAAGUGGACACACAGUAUGCAAAACUUUAGAAAAAUUGUCCAUAAUCCGAAAAAUUAAAUGCCUCAAUAUCGCAGGACAGGAAAACGUCGCUGAUGUGAUCGCUUGUAUUGACAGGAUACGGGUUAAAAAAAAAAAUAUUGACGUCCGAAAUAAUCGCAUGAAAAAAAACGCUCCCAAUAUGCAAGGAAGUGUCCAUUUUUGAACUAUCAGUUCUCUGUUUGGCUUUUCAUGGCGCUGAUAUCUGCAUAAAUUUGGAUCACUACUGGAAUCUAGUUGAUAGAUGGAGUAUAAAAUAGGGACAAGUCUCAAAAGAGAAGUCUUGGUCCUGAUUUGAUUUAGAUCUUUUCUUGCUAUACCGGAAAAAUCAGCCAUGACCCAUAAGUUAUGGAGCUGCCAAAUAAUAGCCAAUACUUUUUCAAGUUUUUGGAUAUACAGCUACAUUUAUUAUGCAACCUCUGCUGUGUGUAACAUCACAGUAGAACAAUAUCUUUUCUCCAGCAGACAAUCUGAUUAUAGCAGCACAUCUACAGAGUUGUAUUUUGAAGCUGUUGAAUUUGUUGAGUCAGGAUUGGGAGCCUCAGAAGGACCUAAUGUCCAUUAAAAAAAAAAAGAUGCGGCUUUAAAUUUAUUUACUUAUUCAUUUAUUUUGCUCUUUUUAAAGUCUCUGAUUCAGAUGCAGCUCCAUGCCGCCCUCCACCCUGAGCUGAUUGAGUUCUCUGAGAGUCUCCCAAAGCUGCCAAAUUAAUACAGGAGGACGGAAAUGCAUUAAAGGUAGAAAUUACAUUUCUAUUCAUGAAGCAGCAUCUCCACAGCUGAAUGUGAAUGUGAGUCUGAAGAGUCUCUGCUCAGCUUCAGAUGGUCAGUAGAUGCAAAGUUGAAGAAAUUAAGUGUGGUAAACUUUUCUGCAUCUUUUAUAGAAUUUUGAUCAAAAAUGAAGACAGUGGGAUUUGACUGGAGACAUACUGAACUGUGCAUGUGUUUGUAAGAAUCUGUUCUGCUGUGGACUGGACCCACCUGUGGAAGCUUUGAAGACUUAACAAGUUUAGCGUGGGUUUGUUUCGAGGUGUUUAGCGCUAAUUACCCACAUCCAAAUGAGAAAGACGGACCUCCAAUUAACUCAGAAGUCAGUCCAGAAUUUUUUAGAGUGCCUUUAAUGAACACUACUUGAACUCCAGAAUUCCUGAGAUGUCAGCGGAGAUCUCUUGGAUUCAUUAUUUUAAUUUUCUGACCCCUUCAAAACGAUGCAUGCUGAAAUUUUAAUGUGUUUGGGAUAAAUAAAUGAUGUGUUGGACAUCCAGGGCUGCAAACUCACAUCCCCUUAUUGGAAAAUUAGAGAGAAAAUUAUGGUGCUUUUGACGUCAGAAUCAAAUGUUUGCAGGAGAAAGGGGGGAGAAAAAGGUUACUCUAACUCUCAUGUUCAAUUAUUAAUCCAGGCUGUUGUUUAAACUCAACGGUGUCUUCUUCUGGUUUCAGAGCAUUGGCACAGAGACCCUUCAAAAGGCCCUCUGCCUCUCUCCUCCUCCUCCUCCUGCUCAAACUCUCUUUGAGGAAAAGCUCCCUCAUUGAUAUAACAUGAGCAGAGGACCCCCGCUGUUAGCCAUCACAGGUGUCACGGACAGGAGCGUAGUGGGAUUUCUGGAUUCAUGUCAGUACGGCACAAUGACGGCAGCUUCAAACACCUGUUCAUAUCCGGCCUGAGCGGACUUAUCAAGUCCCUAUUAAAACGCAGUCACUGGCGAUAAGCUCUGUUUUUGCUGCCUUGUUUGAUAUUUGCAUUUCAAAAAGAAGGCCGAGCACGAGCAGAAAGCGAAGUCAGAGCUACAGUCAGUGUUCCAAAAAAUGGAAAUCUGGUUCAAACCGAAAACAACCCUUUCGUUUGCUGCUUAAACUCUGCUGACUCUUCAAAAAUCAAACAAACAGUUACUCCCCCCUUUUGUUUCAUCUCUUUUUUUUUAUAAAACAAGAGAGAGGAGAAAUGAUGGCGCAGACGGGGGAAACCACAGAAAAAGGUCAAUCUGAAUACCAAAUAGGAAAUGCUGACUCCAGCUAGCUGUUUGUGGACCUAGAAAGAGGUAACAAGCUCCAGUUGAGGGCCCCACUGUCGCCAAGUCAGCCAUGCCUAUGACUAUGACUACAGUAAUAUUUAUAAUCUAAUUUACAAUGGGAAAAAAUUAAACCAAACCUGUUUUUCUAAUCAGGUUGCAAACUUGUUUGAAGCUUUGGUCUACGAUCUGAAAACCAGUUUGGCUGUUGAGACAGAUUUGAAAAACACAGCCUGCCCUCCCUUCACUCACCCCUCCCCUCCGUGUUCCAAGAAACCCCCUUUCUUUCUGAUCUUUAUAUUGCGUAGAUCGGACCAUAGGACCAUAACGGCCUUAUAAAUGGUGUUAUUAUGAAGUACCAAGUGUGGCGUGUGGUGUAUUUUGAGGACCCAGAAGCAGACAGCAAAUUAAGAUGUAAUUUUAAUGUCCAAACUCAGGGGUAAAGGCAAAAGAGAAAAUCUGGUUGGCUGACUGGCUGUUGUGUGGGCCAGAGACAUUGCGGAGAAAACAGAGGAGAUGGAAGUGAGUAGACAUACAAUGAAUCACAGGGAGCAAAGUUGCAAGCACUUAUUCAAAAGAAAGGCCAGAAGACACGUCUGUAUUACUCGGGAGUGAAGACAAUACUGAGGCGCUGAGACUGAGGGCUGCUGGCUUCUUAAAGUGCCUUGAUUGCAGAUUCAGCGCAGGUGUGGAGUCUCACUCAGCCUCAGCGACGGGGAGGGGGAGGGUGCUCUGGAAAAGAGUCAAGCCAGACCAGGAAAACGAAGAAAAAUAAGAAGUAGGUCACUUUUUCUUUUAUUUUUAGUAUUAUUUUUUGCCCUUGUCUUUACAGUUUUUUUUUUUUAUAACUUUCUCUUUUUUUUUAAAUAUAUAUUUUUUACUCUUUUACAAUUGUUUUCUCUACUUUUUCUUACUUUAUUUUCUUCUAACUUUUUAUUUUAUUUGUCUUUAUGCAGAUUGUUGAAAAAUCCAUAUCUUACAUUUUACUCCCUUUCUUUUUCAUAUAAAAAAAAAUGUAUAUUUAUCUUUUUGUCUGCAUUUUAUGAUUAUCUAGUUUUCUUUUACUUUCCUCUUGUUUUUUUUUAUUUCUUCUUUUAUUCCAGUUUCUCAAUUACCUCCACUGGAGUGCAUUCAUACUUUUUUUUUAAAUCUUUUCUCAGGAAAACAGACAUGAAAGUCUUCAGGUGAUUAUGCAGAGAGUAACUGAAGCUGUGCAAAUAAACCUGAGCAGUCAGAGGGAUGAAUAAACUCACUGGUCAGACUACAAACAGGCUGGAAAUGGGUUCUUUGGGUGUCUCAGUGUUUGCACGAGAGCUUUUGAUUUCGUGGAACCAUAAGAACCUUUUAUAUCUGCAUAGCAUAAAUAAUUUGGCCUCCAAUUCCUUUAGACAUGACUGUUUGCAGUGAGAUUAACAGAAUAUCUGAGCCUGACUUCAGAUUUACCCCGCAGGCACUGAAUUAAUUGCGGUAAUUCAAAGGGCAGUAAUUUGCUGCUAAGACUGGAGAUUUACCAGUUUUAAAUGGUUUACAAUCUCAUUUUUCAUUUAUAAUAAAGUGUUUUAUCAAACAGAUCAUUUCUUAUUCAGUCCAACGUAUGAGUAACUUGUGUAUUUCCAUUUAAUUCCACUGUGAAUUUUCACUGUUUGGAUGUUUCCCUGCUCCAACACACCUGAUUCAAAUGAUCAGCUCGUUAUUAAGCCAUCACAGAGCUUGAUAACGAGCUGAUCAUUUGAAUCAGGUGUGUUGGAGCAGGGAAACAUCCAAAACAUGCAGGACCACUGGAACACUGGACUAAGGUAAAAUUCCAGCCUAUAGGAGGGUAAUUUGAUAAGUUCACAGUGUACAUAGGUGUGGUUUGUCUGUGGAAACCUGAUGACCUCAUUUAACUCACCUGUGUCUGUCUGCACACCUGCUCUUCAUUAACUCAGCAGUAUAAAUACUCUGCAGCUGCAGCCUCCUGUAACUCAGCUUUUGGGGCAGACGUUUGCUUCAACAGUCUUUGUAUACCUGGUGUUUUAACUAGGGUGACCAUACGUCCUCUUUUACCCGGAUAUGUCCUCUUUUAUUUAUCUGGGGAAGUUUAUAAAAUCCUUCAAAUGUCAGGAGUUUUGUAGGGAAGUUUUGAGUUUGUGUAGGCUGGACUGAGUUAGAAGCGUGUAAAAAAAUACACUCAACCCGACCCGAAAAACCCUCAAAAUUCUGGUCACUCUAUUUUAAAUGCUCUUGUUUAAUAUGUCUAAUACAGCAUUUCUAUCUGCCUGUCUCCUUUUAAAAGAAUGAACUAUUUCAAUACAUUUUUGGUCCCUAUAUCCUCAUACAGAAGCUUUUAAAACAGCUCAGAUCCUUGUAAAAAUGGUAGACCCUACUGUUGCUUUAUGGAUAUUGAGUCGAUUAGAAAGCAAAUUCAGACAGUGGUGGUGUGGAAAUUCAGCUUAAGUGAAUAAACACCCUUGAAGAAGUGUAUCAUUGGAUUAAGGUGGAUACUAAAUCAUUACAUGAAUUAGUAAUUCUCUGUGUAAAUUCUGGACUUUGUCACAUAAAGAGAAGUGUGUGUGCCUUUAGACUCCAUGUACUCCCUGUUUUAAUCCUCCAAUCGUUCAUAGAUCUCCCCUCUCUGCUCAUCUAUAAUUCAGAGCAAGUGCGCUCCCUGACACCACGCAAUUAAUUAGUCUUUUUGUUCAUUAAAGGCUCAGCUUUUAGAAGACCAUCAUGUUUUAUUUUAGUUUUAAUUACUUUGUGCUUUGGCAGCUUUCUAUUUCCAAGAUUUAUGUUCCUCAGGUCCCGACCACCAUCCAAUUAGAGGCAGAUCUGUGUGUUUAUGAGGAGGGGAGAGGAGCAGCGAGUGUGGCGUUCAAAGACUGUGACUCCCGUUCGCUUCACAUGUGAUGUAAUGAGAUUAGCAUAGUCUUUGAAAUGAUCGUCAGUUCCUGCGGGUCAAUUGAUUUGCCAUUCAGUUUUAAAGCACCCAGAGGCUCGUAAUGUGUGAGUGUGAGCACACACGCCGUUAGAUCUGUGUGCAGUCUGCAGGGAGGCUGUUGGCAACAAUCAGACAGAGUUAGACAAAGAGAUAAAAACCCACAUUAUCGUCACUCUGAUGAAUCAAACCACAAAUAAUAGUCCUCAGACAGAUUGUUAUGUUUUAAUGGAGAUUAUGGGAACUAAGGGCUGCUGGAAUUUUUAAAAAAGACACAAAAAAAGAUUAUAAAACUCUGCCAAAAACAUCAGCCUGGUGUUCUCAGACUCCUUAAAUCUUAAUUUUGAAAAAAGUAAAACAUCAACUUUGAAACAUUUUCAUCAAAAGCAUUUCGAAGUGUCUGCUGUCUGUUUUUAAAGUCCCAUUUAACAGGACAGAUCCUCCCUUAACCAAUGUUUUUAAGUCAAUCUGGACCCAGUUUAACUUAAAAGAAGAGUCGGGGGCCAUUUUAAGGUACGAUUAGAUUAGAUUUGACAGGGUUAGGGUAAGUGUUUAUUAAUCCUUUUGGGAAGGUUUCCUCAAAGUUCAGGUACCCUUAUAAAAUUUGAGGGGCUUUUAAGCAACAAAUCUCAGGUAUGCUUUUAAGGUUGUUUUGCAAAAGUGGUUGGAUCAUUUUAACAGUUUUUUCUUGAGUUUUUGCCUGUGUAUUAGGAUAAACAUUAUGAAUGUUUCAAACUGUCAUUUGGACACUAUUUUAAUUUACUAUUUUCCCAGCAACAAAGUGAAGUUCUGUUUUCAGCAUUUUGAGACACCCUCAACAGUUUCUCUAGAGGUACACUUCUGAAACUCAGUUUGGACUGCUUUGAAGUACUGUUUGCAGUAAAUUUUGAGGUACCACCAAGGUACCCUUCAAAAACGAGAGCUGGGGAUACACUUACCCCCAAUUUCUACCGCAUGUGGAAUGCCAGCGGAAAAGCUGUCGGCAUCAACCGCAGCUGAUCGUUUCCAUUCAAGUUAAUGUGUCAAUUUCCACCUGCUUCUAUCCAGCCCCCUGCGGUUCAGCGGGCUUCGUAGCCAAUCGCCAGGUUUCUACUUUAUCCGGACACUACAGCAUGCUGCAUAAAUUUAGCACAGAUUAACCCGUAUUGUAAAGGAAGUCAAGCACAGAUGCAAAAUAAAACAUUCGGCUUCUUGGGCGGGGACGAACAAGUCAAAGGUUUUCAGACUUCAUGUCUAGUCUAGAAGUGGAUUUCCUCCUCUGGAAGGACACAAUCUACUACUUAUGUGGUUAUGUGGCUGUUUUUAUAAAGACAACUCAUUAUUGUGCAAUUGCAUUUGAAUCUGAAGGUUCUUAUGAGUUCUCGCGAUUCCUGCUGUCCAAAAUCCGCAAAAGAAAUUCGCCUCACAAACACAUCUGGUAGGAAUUGGCGGAUGGCGAAAAUCACUACCAUUCCACAGCUAAGCCGUUUCGUAUGCAGUGAAAAUUUGGGGGUUGGGCAGAUUAUAAGUACUCUUAAGUCUGGUUUUAGAUACUCUGCAUGAAACUCAUGGAGCUAUGAACAUUUCUUUUUGGGGUCAGUAUGAAGCAGUUAUAAGCAAAGUCUUUUUAGUAACCCCAUGGUGACUGCUCAAAAGUUCAGUUUGCAAACAGUUGAAGGUCUCCUGAUGUUGUUACCUUUGGUGUUUGUUCAAUGAUAUCCACGGUUUUGAUUUUAAGGUACCCUAGGGCCUCUGUUUUUGAUUAGAAAAUUAUGAGGUACCGUCCAGCACCUGUUUUUCAAGUACCUGUUAGAUCAUUGUCGAAUUCCCUCAUCUCAUACGGUCAUUAAUUGGUCAUCCCUUUGUGAGAUCAUUAAAAGAAUCUCAGAAAAAAAGAUCAUGACAGGCUUCUGAACAAAGAGAAGAGUCUGACACAUUUAAUUAAAGCAUUUCUAAAACUGACGGCACAUUUCUUUCAAACUCCCUCUCGUAGAACAAAUGUUGCUCUAUUUUCACUCCCACAUCCCGCUGAAAUAAUUCCCUUGUUGUUUUGGACUGUGCUUGUUUUUAAGGGCCAGUUAAUACUUCAUAAAAACAGUGUGAAGCCAAACCCGUGGCCUUUCAGUGACUGUCUGCACUUGUUAUGUAUUAAAGGAGAUUUCACAGUCUCAACCCACUCAAGGAAUUAAAAAUAACAUGCAGCCUUUUGAAAAAUUCACCUUUGCUGCUGGAAAUGAGCUGCGUUUUCCAGCUGUGAAGAGGAUGGCAAUCCAGACCUAACAGGAUCCAAACCUGAAAUUUCCGCAUAAAGGUUUCCAGCAUGCCUUCUGUUUAUCGUCCCCUCAGCAGCUCUUUUUGCCUAACAUGGCGUAAACGUCCCGCUCCGCCGCCUCUCGCCCUCGUUACUUGAACCUAAAGUGUCACUUAACUCGACUCUCAAAGCUGCUCAGGUGUCUCUAUCAAAGAGGGACGGCUCCUGAAUACAAGGGACCACUUUUAAUUAUUCCUGCAGUCAUUAAGGCUUGAUGAACUUCAGAGCGAGCUCCACUAAACAUCUGUGUCCCGGUGGUGAAGAGACCGAGUGGCCAUGUUUGACUAGUCCCCCUGGAGGGCUGAGUGAAGCCAGAAUACAACUGGAGUCAGAGAGUAACAAGAGCCUGAAAGAGGGCAGACAGGAUGAAUUCGACUUUUUCAAACAUGCAAGAGAUCCUCAGAAACAUAAACUGUAUUUGAAGGAAGAUGUAUGUCUCUGUGCAGGGGCGACUUAUCUUGUACAAGGCGCUCAGUUUGACAGGUAUUAUCUAUCUGUCUGUCUGAACUGUUCAGACCCAAGGGUACAAAAUCCACAAUUCACCACUUCCUCUCCUGACUCUACUGAGUUUAUUGAUACUUCUCAAGACAAGGUUACUGUUUUUUCCUCUCUCAGAGUUAGGUAGAAACCAGAGUCCUUAACUGUUGUUUACAAGCUUAUCUUUCAUUGUGCAAUAACAUUUGAAGAGUAUUCUAUAGGUGAACUUUUCUGUUUGAGAAGGCAGCGAGCUGCAAAAGAUGUCCAAGUUUCUAGUCCCAUCCUGGCUCAGGGUUUGGGAUCCAAUGUUCUGAGGCUCAGCAUGUUUCCUUCUGAUCUCCAACUGAAAGAUUUCUAAAGGAGCCAAGGUCAAGAACAGAUUGCAGUUAUUGUCCCAAAUGAUGCCAAAAGUUAAUGAGUGUUAAAAACUUCUCAAAAAGGCAGAAAAAGGUGAAGCUGAAAUUGUGUUAAAUGAGUGUUGAGAAGGCAGUACGUCCAUAACUAACGGUGCGUUCCAGUUGUACUUGGAAGUCGGGUCAAGAAAUUCAUCUGGAACGCUCCUUUUGAAGUCGGAUUUUGGACUCGGAAAGUUGAACCAUCCUCACCACCCCUGACUUGAUGACAACGUCAUAAUCCAAGAUGGCAGCGCAGUGCAUCAACAGUAAAGAGUAACAGUGAAAGUUCUCGUAAUGUAUUAUUUAUUAGCACUUCUGUUUUGUUUUUGUGAAGUUAAAUAAGUGUUAUAUGUUUUACUUCCCAACAUCUAACUGUGAACACAGUGCUAUGGUGUUUGUAAGGGUAAAAUACUGUCGUAUAUGUUGUUUACAACUGGUAUCGCUAACAACAGCUAACUACAGCUAAGAAUAGAAUAGAAUAGAAUAGAAUAGAAUAUUCCUUUAUUGAUCCCCCAUGGGGGAAAUUUUUUUUUUGUCACAGCAGCAUCACAGACAGAGUGCAAAAAUGCAGUUAUAAAAAUAAAGAUCCUAAUAUUAAGAACUUAAAUAAAUGUAAUAAUUAAGAAAAAAUUUAGAAAAAGGAAAAAGGGAGAAGAAAAAUAAAACUAUCUACAAUAUACACAAUUUAAAUGCCAGAAAAAAAUGGUGGUGUAAAUCCAGUUAUUAUUACAGUUCGUUGUAAAGUCUUAUUGCAGAGGGGAGGAAUGACCUGCGGUAGCGCUCCGUCUUGCAAGGUGGAAGUCUCAGUCUGCUGCUGAAGGAGCUGCUUAAAGCCCCCACAGUCUGGUGCAGUGGGUGAGAGGGAUUGUCCAUGAUGGAUACAAGCUUUGUUAACAUCCUCCUCUCACCCACCUCCUCCAGGGAGUCCAAAGAACAGUCCAGGACAGAACUGACCCUCCUGACCAGUCUAUUCAGUCUCUUCCUGUCCCUCUCACCCACUGUCCCUCUCGGUGCUCCCUGCCCCCCAGCAGACCACUGCAUAGAAAAGUGCAGAUGCUACCAACUACGGCUAACAGUAGGCGUCCAUUUUGGUUUUUCGACUUGUUUACUGGAACGCUGUCAACUCGGGUGGAACGCAAUUCCCAGCUCAGACAUCUGACUUCAGAGGUAACUGGAACGCAGUAUGAGACCCACAACUAGGCAGGAUGCAGACUGGAACCCAGAACGUUAAAAAUGGUCCCACGUGACGAGUUGUCUUUUCUUCUUCUAGGCACUGCAGACCUCAAAACAGUAUUUUACAAAUGCUCCUGCAACAAAGACACAGACUUCCUCGACAUUAUUUCACCUCACAUGUAUUUGCCAUAAUCCUCUCAUUGGUUUGUACUCACCACUCUACUGAGGAAUGCUUUUACACAUGGGUGGGUGGGUGUUGUUCUUCAGUGGUCUAUCCUUACUAAGUUAUGCUGCCAACUAUAGGCUUUGCAUGGAAACUUCAGUGGAUGGGGGUCAUUCUCACAACAAUGUCCUCUUCUUAUUUUUGCAGAUUUUUCUUAAACACAAAGAAAAGACUUUUCCUUUUCCAAUGAAUGAGUCACUCAAAACCAAACUAUGUUGAAGUUGUUGAAUUCUUCUCAAAUUGCUCACCAAAUGUCGAAGUCUUUAUUCCAAAGUUUGCCAUGCAGGAAAUCUGUUGGUUACAAGUUAAUUCCAAUGGCUGUCCUUCUUCACAUUCACAAUAAAUCAUCAUACUGGAACAAAAUAAAAAAAAAUAAAUAAAACGGGCCUGAAAAGCGAGAAGUAAUACAGUGAAAACAGAUGGUUGUUGUUCUGGGUUAAAUCCUCCACAGUUUGUCUCCAUUUAUCAAAACUGGCAACUUUUCAGAGAUUCAAACCAUCAUAUUUCAAGAAAGUACAAAUUAAACUGGUGUUGGAUCAAAUUUACAGUCUGAACUGGCCUGAACAUUUGUCUCUGGGGACUGCACGAUCCCAAGAGUUACUAAAUUCUGUUAGCAAAGUUUAAAAAGAGAUAUCUUCUCUCUUUUAGCCCCGCGUGAACAGCGAGAGGAGUUUUCAUACCAAACUGAGACUGAACAGAGUGUGUUGGUAAUGAUUUCAGUCCUGAGCUGAAUUUUCCUGCAUUCAGAUCAAAGCAGCUCCUCCAAUCACAGCUCUUUGAAACCAUCAAAGACGCACAAUUAAAAUGGAGCAAACUUUGUGUUGUUUGUGUGUGUGUGUGCGUUUCUUUUCUUUUGUCAUCAGGCCUCAGAUCUGAUAUCUAUGUGGUGGGGAAACAUGUGGGAUGGUCAGAGAGAGAGAGAGAGGGAGGGAUGAAAGCAGGAGACACAUCUGGUCAUCUGCAGAGUUACGCCUCCCUAAGGAGCUCCUCCGAGCAGCUCCUCCAGCUCUUGCUACCCCUCUCUUAAUUAGACAGGUAGUCUGAGAGGCUCAUUUGCAGGUCAGAUUCACUGGAACUUGUUUGAUCCACGACGGCCUGCAAUGUCAGGAUACAGAAAUGAAACACCUCCAUGCAAAACAGGCCGAAAUUGGAGGUUUUGCUCAUUAAUUUUGGCUGGAUGAGGCGUAGGUCGUGUCAGAGGGGAUUGUUAAAUAUUUCCCUGAAUAUAAAUCAGCUCCGACUCUCCUGAAGCUUUGACUCUCUGCACAGUUUUGUUUGUCAGAUAAAGCAGAGUAUGAUAUCACAGCGUCUUGCCUGCGCUUUCAUUAGUAUGCCAUCAAAGCAGCGUGGACACAAGGCCACAGUCAGGCUGAAUAAUAAUCGCAGCGAGGCGCUUUCAUGCAAACAGGGCGCAAAGAAGCUAUAAUGCUGUGCAAACAUGCCAAAGGUGUCAUCAGGCCUACUGCACAUCUUCUGUACAGUUAAUUGAAAGUAAGACCUCUCCUGCAUGGCAAACACCUCUUUGUGUGCACACUGUUAUUAACGCACAUCUUCAUCCUCUCAGGCAGACAGAAAACAGCUUUACUGCUGCAUAUGCUGAAAAUAUUUGGUGUAAUUUAGAUUUUUAAAAAAGCGCUUUCUCUGGUCUGAUAAAAUCAAAUGUUAUCAGGAGAUUGAAGGCUUUUCUCGUGCAAGCAAUGACGUUAAAUAAACACUGUGUCUAUUAAGAGGGCCGUCCUCUAUCAGCCACAUGCAGAAGAGGGUAAACAAGAGAGCUCUUAAACUUUUAUCUGAUUUUCAUUUCAACACAAUUCACUCCCAAUUAUGCGCAGAGACGUUUUUAGAUCCAUAAUUUAGAGAUUUAUCUGCAGUGUGUCCAUGAAUUAAAUCCAGUUUUAUUCUAAAAGCAUUCGAGGCUGUAAAAAGCACUGCAACGUGUCACAAACAAGUUAUUCAUCACUUCUUUUGGAACAAAAUAUACUGAAUUUGUCCAUAUUUCCUCACUAAUCCUUUAAUCUUCUUUUUCCACAACUAUCACAGUCCCCAGUCUUGAAAAAUCACUUGCAGUCAAAUGCAUCUAUAAAUCUACCUGUAAAACGACUAUAAAUUUACAAGAUCCCGCAAAAGCAAGCCUUAUGUACUGCCAAUAAGACUGAGUAUCAAACUCUCAUGUUAUGAAAUUUAAUGACUUGUUUUAUCACAAAGCAACACAAAUAACGUUGAGAGCAAAAUCAAAAUCCCUUACUGACUCUGUGCGAAAGUCCGUUCAGUUGAGGUCAGGCGUCUGAGUGUGCACUACAAAAGCUAAAAAGGGAUUAAAUGAAGAUGUGUUCUGGUUGGGGAUAAAUUCAGGAAUGAUGAUGUUGGAUUAAAUAUCUUUUAGUUUUCAAACAAAUACCGAACAAAUACUACGACUGCUAUUCAUGCCGCUUUCGAAUGUGACGCUUCCCUAAAUCCCUAAGUCUGGACCUGCUGACUUUAGUUCAGCUGUGACUAUUUGACUUUUUUAUUUACAGUAAAAAGUUGUUCUGGUUGCUGUAAAUGUCAUGAUCUUGAUCAUCUUGACUCUUGAUGGUGGAAUGGUCUCUUACAGGACUCAAAUUUAGCCCGAAUUUUCUUACCUUUAAAGUCGGGCGUCUCAUCUAUAUUUCAUGUUUUACUGGUCAAACGUUCCUGCUAAUGAGAUAAACCCAUAGACUGUAUAUAGAUUGGAUGCCGUUUGCCUCCAUGCUGAUGGAAGCCACCAUGAGAACAGCACCCUGUGGUGACUGGCUGCAGUGUAAGUCAUUAAUCCCGCCUCCUCCAGCAAUCCCUAUGGAGCUGUGGACAAACUUUAGAAAUGUAUUACACAGAAUAUAAUUUCUUCUCCCCUCUGCUUGCGAUGUUAACAUGUAGUUACUGUAAAGGUCCUCACACACCGGGACUGUUUUUUCCUGCGAUUAUUUCGGACGUCAAUAUAUUUUUUCAAACCCGUAUCCUGUCAAUACAAGCGUUCACAUCAGCGACGUUUUCCAUCCUGCGAUAUUGCAGCAUUUAUUUUUUCAUAUCACAUAUGUCUAAUUUUCUAAAGUUUGGUCAGAAGUGGACACACAGUAUGCAAUCAGAUUUUGUGUUGUUGCAACGUCUGAUUCACCAGUAUAUCCAACAUGGCAGACCAGCUGAUUGUUUACAUGUCAGAGAACAGAGUGCUUUUUGAUAAAAGACACAAACAUUACAAAGAUAACGACCCGAAGGACAACUUGUGGAGAGUCAUAGUGUCGGAUUUCUCAUAUGACGAUGUUUUGUGCGCUUUAACAGUUUGCUAAACGUCUUUGUUUUAACUUUCAUCUGUGCUAAGUAACUUUAGCUCUUAAUCUAACCUGUUCAGAUACAACAUACCAUAUGUAUUUUCACUGUCUCAAACUCAAUCGCGUUCCACCAGGGACGCACCUUUUUUCCCCAGGAAAGUCGCUAAAUCGCAUCGGGCUGGAUGUGUAUAGUCAGGUGCGUCAAAAUUCGCCUCUGAAUAUUUCGUAAUGUUGCGUUGUAUAUUUGCGUCGUUCCCGGUGUGUAAGGAACUUAAGUCUGGUUUGUGCUUAAGUCCUCUUUUUUUCUUUGAAGCUCCAUUUUUAAAAGUUAUUAGGGGGUUCACGUUUCCUCUGAUUGACACUUGAUACAGCCUAUGGGUGUACGAUGAUUGCGUAGCUCACCCGGGAAUACGCUGUUUGAGCCAAGUGUCACCACAGGGACUCUCAGCGACUCUCCCACCGAAUGCGUACAACGCUAUUGUGGAAGUGGUGGUUCGGCUUCAAAUUUGUACAAUGACGGAAGGUGGCACCAACUUGUCCAAAGUAUAUACAAUCUAUGGGUAAAACAAUCUUAAAAAUAGCGCUCAGUCUACAUGUGCCCACUCUCAAUGAGUUACGGCGACUUGUUGGACAACUAUUCUCGUCCUUUUUCUUAGCCUUGGAUCGUUGACUCAGACUUGUAAUUUGUAACUCACCUGGUUUCUGUUAGCUCUCUGAAAGCGCAGAAAUAAUGAGUUUCUGCAGAAAUAAAAAAGAACAGAAAAGGUUGCAUAAAAGGCUGACACAGCUGAGAACACACAGAAAACCCUGACAAACUUCAUCAACACAGAAUGAAAAUAAAUCCUAAACAAACGAAGGAAAAAAAAUCCAACUGCACAUUUCCUGUCGAGCAUCAAAAGUGCUCUCUGUAACCUCUCUUCAAUAAAGCUAUUCAUCAGUGUCAGGGCUGUGCUCCGGUCCCUGUCAACACCGCUUCACCUUCACAAGAUAAAAGAUGCUCGUUUUCUCUGUCAUUGUCUCGCUAUUGAACGCAGCCCGCUCCCUCCAUGGGUCGACCUUGGCCUGCUGCAGCCUACCUGAGGUCAGCCUAUCAUCACACAGCCAGGACGUUUAGCCAGUCUAGGAAAACACUCUCCACUGCCUGAACGCUGGAGUCCAGAGAUAACACCAGAAAACGCUAAAUGAGCUGCUUUCUUUCUGCAGACAUGUACCUGACUUCAGCUCAAUCAAUCAGAGCUGUGAGGGACUUUAAGCCGCAGCUAUAUCACUAAUCCGCAGCUACAAGCGCCGCAGCAUUAAGAUGAAUCUGCUGCAAAUUGGAUGUUGCAGAGGGGACAAUGCUAUCUGCGCUCCAGGGUUAGAUUGCUUCUCAACUGUUCCUCAUUAGAGCACAAUCGCUUCGGGCUUCUCACCGGACAGGCAGGCUAUACGAUGCUGUUAAGACUAGAGGAUCCACGGGGCAGAAAUUAGAGGCCGUUCACCAGCUAACACUCUGAAACACAUUAGCGGGAGACAAGCACAGUGAGACAGAAGGACCUGCUGAGCGGCUAAAAGCAAACAAGACACUUUAAAGUGGGAGCGAGUGGCUUUGUUUGUUCCUCUCUAAAACACCAGUGAAUUCUUUUAGAGGUCUAAAUGCUCUAAUAGAUAGAAAGACAGCGGCAAAGUAACACAAACUAACAUUAAAUUCUGUGGAAACUAGUUUGAUCAAAAGUUCUGGCAAUGAAGAAAAUAGGAAAACAGCAGCUUAACAGGUUUUUUAGCUGAGCGGGCUGUGAUGGAUCAAAGGCGAUUUGAUUAUAUGAACUGCAGGCUAUGGCUGGAAUAACAUCCCAAAACAUCAUCUUAAAUCAGUUUAUCAUCUACUCACUGAAAAGAUGUCAACUAUUUUUGUAUAGCUCCAGCCUGCAGCCACAAAACAGGCUGCAAAGGCUGCCAAAUAAAGUCCAACAAGAACACAAACCAACUCACAAGUAGAGGUAUACCAGCAACUCUUGUGCCCUGUGAGGUUUUUAUUGUGUGACAUUACAAAUUAUUGUACAAGGAUGUAUUCUGUUACCUUUAAAAGUGGUCUCAAUUUCAAUUUCUACAAAUAAAGGCAGAGGUAGACCAGCAACUCCCAUGUCCUGUAGGGUGCUUAAGCUCUGCUUGGACUGUUUCUAUGUUUUUGUUAAACAUAACUUUGAAAAUUAUUGUACUAACAGUUAUUCUGUUACUUUUAAUAGUGGUUUAAAUUUCCACAUAUAAAAGCAGAAGUAGAUCAGCAACUCCCAAGUCCUGCUUGGACUGUUAUGUUUUUGGAUGACAAAAAUUUGCAAAUUGAUUUACAAAGACUUAUUAUUUAAGCUUUGAAAUGGUAUUUAUUUUUACUUACAAACUCACGUCAAAGCAGAGGUAGACCAGCAACUCCUGUGUUCUUGGGCUUAAUUACCGGGUUUUGUCCCAUUUGGAUGGUUUAAUAUCUUUUUCUGUUAUCCUGUCAGCUUUGAUCAGGACUUUUAUAUGAAACGAAACAAACCAACCAACUAAUCGAAGCAACUAGACCAGCAACUCCUGUGUUCUCUUGAGUUCCUGUUUUUGUCAAUGAAGUUUUGUCUCUUUGAAGACAAUUAUGCUAUCUCUAUUUCUCAACAAAAUCAACAUGAAGAGUCUAAAAAGGGUCUACCAAUGAGACACUGGGAGUUGUUUCAAAUGUUUCGAGAAGUGAUUGCCAAAAUCCCCAACCAUCAAACCCCAAAUAAAAUUGUAAGACAGUGGUGACCCCUGAUGUACUUUUAGAAACUAUAUUUGUAUCUAUAUUUUCAUAACAAUAAAGAAAAAUUACAAUUUUAAAUAAUUUUGAAACCCCCUCUUUAUUUUCAUUUUUUAAGACACUGUGAUGCCUCUCCUUCCCACGUCAGUGUCUUGUCUUCUUUUAAACACAUCCAUCACUGACAUAAGCAUAAAGAAUAGAAAACCCAUCAAGGCAGCGAUACACCGACAACUCCUAUAUCCUUUAAGGUAGAAGAUGAUCUGAUGUUAAUGUAAUGCAGUGUCAUAAAAAGUGGUGGAACAGCUGUUUCUGUUUUUUUUUUUGUUUUUUUUCUUAAAUCCUCUUAAAUCACCAAAAGCUCAAUUUCUGAAGGGAUCCUUUCUGAAAUACCAUCGAACUCCUGAGAUAAUAAUCUUAACCCUUUGAUGCGCAACAUAUCCACACCCCCUCUAAUGCGCAACAUGGGUCUAAAAAGACCCGCAUUCAUUUCCAAUGGUAUUUCAUGCUGGCUGAGUUUUUCUUUGUUCUAUCUUUUGAAAUAAGUUUAUUUUCUGAUUGAAUAUUCCAAGUAUUCUUUAAAUAUCUUGUUUUUGAUCACCACUGAUUAUUAUUUCUAUUUUUCUUUUCAUACUUUUUGAAAUAAUAUAGUUUCUAUAUUAUUACAUCAAGUUUACACACAUGGGUCAAAAACGACCCAUUCAUCCAAGUGUGAUUUAAUAUUGAAUUACCUAACACUAUAAUAAUAAUUUGUUUCAAGUAAUGAAAUUAGCAGAGAGUGGGGCCAAACCAUAGACUGUAUAUACUAUGGACAACUUGGUUCCGUCUACCGCCUGUGUACCGAUUGGAGCCAAAAAGCUCUCGGUAUUUCCGGGACUUUUCUACAUUUCUGAAACCAGAGCUGCGCAGUUGCGAUGCGUGCAUUCGGCCGCGCAGUCGCUGAGAGUCGCUGUGAUGACGCUCGGCUCAAACAGCGUAUCCCCGGAGAGCUACGCAAUCCCUGAACGCCCAUAGGCUGUAUCCAUAGACUGUAUAUACUAUGGACAACUUCAUUCCGCCUACUGCCUGUAUACAGAUUUGAAGCCAAAUAGCUCUCGAUAUUUCCAGGAUUUUUCUUCAUUUCCUGAAACCAGCGCUGCGCAGUAGCAAUGCGCGCAUUUGGCCGCACAGUUGAAGAGAGUCGCUGUGAUGACACUCGGCUCAAACAGCAUAUCCCCCGGGAGAGCUACGCAAUCCCUGAACGCCCAUAGGCUGUAUCAGGUGUCAAUCAUAGAAAACAUGAACCCCUAAUAACUUUUAAAAAUGGAGCUUCACAGAAAAAAGAGGACUUGAGCACAAACCAGUCUUACAAUAACUACAUGUCAACAUCACAAUCAGGAGGGAGAAAAAUGUAUAUUCUGUGUAAUAAAUUUCUAAAGUUUGUCCACAGCUCCAUAAGCUUUGCUGGCGGAGGUGGGAUUUAUGACCUAUACUGCAGCCCAUCAACAGAGGGUGCUGUUCUCGGAGUGGCUUCACCCAGCGAGGAGGCAGACACUGUCCAUUCUUUAUACAGUCUAUGGGCCAAACACUUUUGUAUUUUGUAUUAGCAACAUGUUUAUUUGUCAUUUUGUCACAUACACAUGCGUCUGAUUAUAGCUAGCUGAAAUAACGCUAGCUGUUUUACCUGUAACUGUGUAACUUUCCAACAUAUAAUGUCCUCACUCUCAAGGUAACCUAAACCUAAUCAAAUCAAAUCUAUGUACAAUUAUAUUUCACAACUGUCAUCAAAUAAUUUAAAGAUAAUGUCAGAACAAUUGAAAAACCAUACUUACAUGUAUUAGACGGUCUUUUCAUGCUAAAUGCUACAGUCACUGUAUGUGGGUCGUUUCUGACCCAUGUAUGUAAACUGUAAAAAACUGUGCUUCCUCAUAACGUAAGAAAGGAAAAAUAAAAAUUAUUAUUUGUGCUCAACUAAAACAAUAUCUUUAUUGCAUACUUGGAAUACUAAAUGAUAAAAUUAAUUUAUUUCAAAGAUAUACCAUAGAAACACUCAGCCAUACAUGAAAUAACAUUGAAAAUGGAUACGGGUCAUUUUAGACCCAUGUUGUGCAUUAGAGGGGUAGUGAUACAAAAACGGUUUUUCUUCUAAAAGUAAAAAAAGAAAAAUUAACAAAAGGAUGUAGGGUCGUCAAAAACAAGUUAAUUGAGGAAUUCCUUGAGUACCGACUGAUGGAAUUAAUUUUUUGAAAAGAUAUAUAAAAUUUAAACUCAGCCGGGUCUUUUUUGACACAUGUUGCGCAUCAAAGGGUUAAGAUAAAAACACAACCUUUUAACACAUCCUUUGAACUAUUUUGCAGCCAUUACAGCCAAUCGUACUGUUGCUCUCUGAAAUAUCUGCUGUAAAAAUGCUGUAGCUUUGUCUAUUAGGUCAUUCAGAUCCCAGAUUGUAUGUUAAUGGGACCCUCAGAUCAUACGCUUUAAACACACUGUGUUUGCAAACCUCAUAUAUACAAAAAUGUCAAUCCCUCAAUGGGAAAAAAUAAAUAUCUGAAGCCACAAUAGCCUGAAACAUCGGCUUUAUUUGCAUGUAUUCAAAAUCAUUUGGAAAAAUCCUGUUUGCAUGUGUCUUAAAUCAAUGAAAGGCUCUUACAGACUGUGCUAUCCCCCCCUCUGUGUAAACUCCCUGGACUCUGCCCCCUCCUCCCCCCCCUCACAGUGCGAGGAAUCCCAGUGAACAUGGCGGAUUUCACACAGCGUAUUAGCGGCGAGUCUUAGAGAGUGAGAUUAUUUAUACAGAGGACACUGACAGGAGGACUGGGAGAGGAAGAGAAAGGGAUGACAUCCACUAAAGAUCAUGAAUCACAUCCUGAUCUCUAACAGGAUUAUACGGUCUGACUGCGGCUUUCAGAGCCAGCAGAGCGAAGCAGCAAUGAUGACACUGAAGCUUAUGAUGUUAGAGUCGAGCAAACUGAUGCGGGGUCACUCUGCAGCCAUCAGGGAUGAGACAAAGUCAAUGCUGAUCAGAGAAAUUGUUGUAAGCGGUGUUGUUUUUCAUAAUUUUCUGUACUGACUCUUCAGAACUGUGUGAGUAGGAAAUCAAAAAGACACACAACUUAUUUUAGGAGUUCAUGCACAUGGUAAAAGCAGCAGGAUGCACAGACACCUGUAAAACAAAAGGACAUUUGUCUUCUAAAAUGCACAUUGCAAAAUUUACCAUCCAGGUGUCAUUUAAAUCACUGUUCAUUUGGAUAAAGUCUACAACAAUUCUAACUUCUUUUUGCUCAACUUAUGCAGACAUGAGAGAAGGUUAUACGCCGAUUGUUCUACGCCCAUCUAAACCUUAACGUAUUGUGUGUUCUGAUCCUGGACUUUCAAACUAGUUAGUUCAUUAUUAGGAUUUCAUUAUGUUAUUUCAGAAGACCUGGAAUGUCAUUUAGAAUCAUGUAGCAUCCCCACAAUGCUAUCAUAUAUACCUGUAUGUAAACAAGCAGAGCUGGUAUCAUGUAGUAGUGAUGGGAAUUACAGCUCUUUUUAGUGAGCCAGAUCAUUCGGCUCAGCUCACCAAGAAGCUCCAAAAUGGCUCUUCAUUUUACCACUUAUAGACUUUCCGAUUCAGCUAAAUUUAGCGUUGUUUGGCUCAUGAUGUGUAUUUGUGCACAUACCACUGAAAUAAUUCAAUACAUCCUUUGUACUGAAGUAUUCACAAGGAAAAAUUAUGUUUUCUAAUAUCAGUAAAUUGCUGUAGCCAAUUGUUUUCAUUGCAAUUACAGACCCUUGUAACUCUCUGAAACCACCUAAUGAAUGCACUUGACUUGAUGACUUGCUAGAACCACUCUGCUACACAAAGCAGAUAGAAGUCCCGUCAUUCUGCCUUGUAGUUAUUGUCUACUGGUCUGAGGGAAGAAAAGAGAGAGAAAAAAAGAGGAAAAAAAAACGGUCCAUAGACGGAAGCCGGCUCUUUGAACCAGUUCGUUCAUGACCGACACAGUCCAGUCUUCGAGGUCCACUGUCCUGCAUGUUUUGGAUGUUUCCCUGCUCCAACACACCUGAUUCAAAUGAUCAGCUCGUUAUUACAGAUCUUGAUAACGAGCUAAUCAUUUGAAUCAGGUGUGUUGGAGCAGGGAAACAUCCAAAACAUGCAGGACAGUGGGCCUCGAGGACUGGUCUUGAGAACCACUGAUGUAGCACAUCAUGGUUUGUCAGUGGGGAUAAAGUUGAACAUAGGGUGUGUCUGGUUAAACUGAUUUAUAACUACGUAACCAGAGCAAUGAGGGCUCAUGACAGGCCUGUGAAUGCUGGACUGAACCAGACUGAAUUUGAUUGGAUAAAAUAAGACUGGAUUGGACUCGAUGAAUAGUACUGGAUGAAUCUGACUAGAUUGGACUGGAUGGGACUUGAUAAAUGAAUUGGCCUGGACUGGACUGGGUCAGACUGAAGUACAUGGUGUUUGAUUGGACUGUAUUGAUUCAAACAGGGCUGGACUGGACUGGACUGAAUUUCAUUGAAUUUGGGUGAACUGGACUGCAUUGAAUUGGCCUUAGAGGAUUGGUUUGGACUGAAGUGGAUUGGACUGCAUUCGACUCGCCAGAUUGGACCAGGCUGGAUUGGUUUGGAUUGGACUUGAUUAGACUGGAGAAGUAUUUUGUAACCGAGGGAUACUGUGGUUUUCAACAAAGUCCAUUCCAGUGCCAUAUCAGUACACAGAUAAUGCUCAUAAUAAACAGACAUAAAUUCAUACAUAAGAUUUAAAUACAGACAUCCUGUUAAUGUCAUUAUAGUAGCUUUACAGUCAGUAAAACGACAGUACUUUGUAUUUGUGGAAUAGUCUAAAGUCAGAGGAUUUUGAGGGAGUGUUUCAUGUUCUUUUCCUUGAACUAACGUAAAAAAAAAAAAAAAAAAAAAAAGAAAAUCUCCUCACAGACUUCACAUCCAUCCAAAGUUUGUGUGUGUGUGUGUGUGUGUGUGUGUGUGUGUGUGUGUGUGUGUGUGUGUGUGUUUAUUGAAAUAGUAGAGAGCACUGCAUUUUGAAAAUGUUCCAUCUGGUUGUACACACAGUGAUAUCAAACAAGUGCAGCGUGAGAAAUGAACUGCAGUAUCAGUGAAGCAGAUAGAGGGGUGGAGGGACAGGAGGUGUGUGAGUGAUUGAGGAGGCAUUGAGAGGAGGCUGCAGUGUUUGUGCACAUACUCCUUCACCUCCUCAAACCGGCGUCUUAUCUACGGCUUGUUUGGAGUGGAAGUUUCAGGAAGUUUGGGGAGAAAAAGUGGGGCAGGUAGACUUACAAAGACCCGUCACUUUUCUUUAUAUAGUCCACAGCCGGUCCAGAAUAUAGAUCAGGUUGCGGCACAGUAUCUGCUCCUCUGUUCUGUCCUUCAGUGGCGAGGGGAAGGACAGGAAGACAACGGGGGAAGGGGGGAGUAUCUUUUCCGCGGUGGAGUCCUAGAAAACUUGGUCCAUCGAAAAAGAAAACAAAGUAGAACAUUUUUGAACGCAUUGAUUGGAGGAAGGAGAAACCUAAUCGCACUUGGCAAAGCACGAAAACAUGCCCUUCAAAUAUAAUGUUCGCCUCAUUUUCUGAACAGAACGUCCUCUUAUUAUAGCACAGGGAUAGAAACCAAGACAUCUUUGCUUGUUCUGAGGUCUUUUAUGCAAAGAGACACUUUAGAAAAUCUAUACUUUGUCCUCCUCAAACUGAACUUUCACUUUACUUAAGCUUUGGCAUGAAAAUAAUGAAUUCCCUUUCAUUUAAGUUGUCCGCGCUGAACCACAUUUCCAGGCUUGUACAGAAAUGAUCUUGGACCUGAUUGAUGAUUUCUGCAGAGGGAUUUGUUUCUUUAUGAUAUAAACAGAAAGGCUAAAGGUCAUUACACACCGGGGGCGAAUUAGCAAAGCGAAUAAUUUCCUUUUACUAAACCUCACAAUGUCAGUGCAAGCUUCCACACCAGCUACGAACUUCCGCAGAGCGGAAAAGAGACUUGCGAACAUUUGCUUUUAAUCUAUAGCCUUGCAUAAAUCUUACCUCAGACAUAUCAGCUCUCUAUAAUUCGUCCGCUCCCUCUGCAAACUUGGAGUCACCUGAUAAAGCAGUUCUUGAAAUUGUCUGAGGGACAUUCAGAAGUGUUGUUGGAAUUUCUUGGGAUACAAUUUGAGCUCCUAGAUUUUUGUGUAGCUCCCCCAUCUCCUGUCGCAAGAUCAGUAUUGGAUGUACCCAGACACUUUGGUUCUUCUUUUUCUUUUUGUUAUUUAAUAGGCUUACAACCACGAUCAGGUCAUCAUCGCUCGAGGAUGUAGUCGCCGUUGUUUCUCCUUCUUCUCUCGCCCUCUCUGUUCUCCCCCCGUGGCGUAUUUUUAUGUGAAUUUUAUUCGCGUCGCACCAGGUGUGUUUUGGAAAAAGCGUAAGUCGAAUAUUUCGCAUUUUCGUGUCGCUUUUUCGCAUUGCUCCGCUAAUUCGCCAGUGUGUUAUGACUUUAGAUCAGUGGUUCUCAAGUCCAGUCCUCGAGGCCCACUGUCCUGCAUGUUUUGGAUGCUUCCCUGCUCCAACACACCUGAUUCAAAUGAUCAGCUCGUUAGUAAGCCAUAACAGAGCUUGAUAACGAGCUGAUCAUUUGAAUCAGGUGUGUUGGAGCAGGGAAGCAUCCAAAACAUGCAGGACAGCGGGCCUCGAGGACUGGACUUGAGAACCACUGCCUUAAGAGUUAUUAACUGAGUAACCUGACAGCUGUCUUUGCCUGUUUCUAGAUAAGUAACCGGUCAGGUUGGGGUAGAACUUAGAUAUUUGUUUGCGUCUUCUGUUAAAACAUUUUGUAAACAUCUGUUUUUAAAGAUGCCUUAAAAAUACAGCUAUUAUCAUUCUUCUUCUUCUUCUUCUUCUUCUUCUUCUUCUUCUUCAUUAUUAUUAUUAUUAUUAUUAUUAUUAUUAUUAUUAUUAUUAUUAUUAUUUUUAUUAUUAUUAUUAUUAUUAUUAUUAUUAUCAUCAUAAUUAUUAUUACUAUUAUUAUUAUUAUUACUACUAUUAUUAUUAUUGUUGUUAAAUUAAAUAAAAUUAAAUUUUAUUUUAUUUUAUUUUAUUUUAUUUUUCAUGGUGACUGACUACCCUUUAAACCAAUGGAUAGCAUUACAGAGACUCAACAAUGUUUUAUACAGUGUGUGUGAAAAACUUUUUUUUUUUUUUGAGCUGAUGGUAAACUGUUGUCUGUCUCUAAUUUUAAUCUGUGUUCAUUUGGUUUUAUUCUCUGUUCUACCUUUAAAGCACUCUGUCUACUUCUUUAUACCAAUAAUGACUGUUUUCCUCUUCAUUUAUUGUCCUCAUUGUAAAACACUUUCAGCCUCGACAUUCAUCAUAAAUGCCUGAAAUUCCUCACUAUUAUUUGCCUUCAUGUCAAUCACAACAAUGUUUCCUGACUUUAAACACUUGUCAUAAAAGCAGCACCUGCGAAAUGGACUUUGAAUAUUUUGCCACUCACAAAAUGCAAAAUGACCCCUCCCCUAAACACCACAUAGGUUGUUAUGAACUCAAGGUCAGACUCUGUGAAUCAAAGAGAAAACACCCCUUUAGACAGAUUUUAUAGCUUUAAGAGUCUCAGCAGAGAGCUUUAUAGAUCAUGUGAAAUGUUGAGUAUGAGUGCAGAGAGUAUUGACCGCUGAGGGACAAUCUCACCCUACUCUGGUUAAAAGCUUCCAGUGCUUUACUUUGAGUAUAAUACUUCAAUUCUUGUGGUCAGACAGAAGUAAUACUCCGACUUUGCCCUUUAAUCUUUGCGAUUAUUAACCGCUGGAUGUUUUUGGAUGUUAAACACUUUAUUUUAGCUCCUCUCUCUCCAUGUCAGAAGGUCAGUUUUCUCUCGGACAGAGAUAAGGCAGCUUCCCCCGUCAGCGCUGCAGAGGUCUCUGAGCAUGCCCGAUAACGCCGCACCUGCGUUAUCUCUCAUGUUAAAACCCCUCGCCUUGUUAGCAUGCUAAAUGAUGGAUCGUCCUCUCGGAGUAGAAGGGGCUUUGGCUCCCCUGUGGCUCUGAAACCCUCGGCGCCCUGCAAGUCCGAUGAUAGAUUACCUCGCCUUUAUCUGCAGCAGCUGAUUAUUCCGCCUCUAUCAUGAAAGCUAAGUGCGAGCAGGGAUGUGAUCGCCUUGUAAUGUGGCCUGAAAUAGCUUGAUUAUGCUCAGGUUCAUUUUUAUCUGGCUGGAUUACACUCCGCGCAGUCUGUUUGUGCACACUUCAAGUUUGAAAGAUAGGGAUGACUGUCGCUUACAUUCUGCAGACGUUAUGCAUUAAAUCUAAUCAACAGUGAACAUGACAGGAAUUAAAUAUCCUCCUCAUAACUUCAUCAGUGAGAGUGACCUCUUUAAACCGUCCAUCACAGUGUUAUUAAGCCAACAAUCACUCACACAGUAAGAAACUAAUUACAGGACAUACUUUAAAAGGAAGGGAGGGGCUUCUUACAAGAUAGUCUAUUAUCACAGUCAUUAUUAAUAAUCACAGCUGGACUCUAUUAAAGCAUAAAACCAUAAUAAUUCAGUGUUAGGUCUGACCUUCAGCCAGGAGUGACAGCUCACAUAAUCUGAUGACACACUUGUCAUCUUUAAUCAUCAGUGUGUGUGGUGUAAAAAUGCUGCAUUAAACAUGCAGGUUAAAAUGAUCAGUCUGAUGAAAACAUGCAGGGUACCAACAUCCAAUCAGAGGCCCUGCGUUUCGAAAUAUGAUGAGAUGGGAGCCUCCCGUGUCUGAUGGACUCAGAUCUUUUUUGACUGUUACAGAUUUCUGUACAAUACUACUCAAAACUGUGAGAAAUAUGAUUUAUAGUCUGCAGAUUCUUGCAGCUUUGUAUAGUAAUUCAACACAGUUGGGUGACAAACAAAACAAAUAAAAAACAGAGUCAGACAACAUUUUUUCAAUUCGGUUUGAAUUUCACAAACAUGUUGCCAAACCAGUGAUAAAAUCCAACUCUGACAAAGCCGAAAGAAAAUUAAAGCUGCAAACAGCAUUCAGCCAGCUCUUAUAUCUUUGCACAAAAUAGGGAGUGUUACAGUCACAGCAGAGGACGCUGAGCACACACAGCUAUCAACAAGCAAACAACAUGGGAGUAUAUUGAAUAUUUUGCAUGCAUUUCAGUACUGGCUUGUUCCUGCAAGUUAUACUAAAUGGUAUAAAGGACUGAAUUUGGGAAAUCUGGAGCAGACUGAACAUUGUAUCUAAGAGUUGAUACUAGUACUUUACAGCAGGCUUCCUCAGUAGAUUAAGUCUGAGUCAGGAUUGCCAGCAUACAUGGAGACUCUAGAGCAGACUGAACACUGUAAAAGAGUUAUCAAAAGGGAUUCCCAUCACGAAGUACAAAUGGGACUCUCACUUAGCAUAUUGCCAAGCUUGGACCAGGACUGCCAUCAUACACGUUAAAUCUGGAGCAGAUUGAACAUUGCAAUUUUUUUGUUUUCCUGACACAAAUUUUUUGCAUCUUACCACAGCUAAACUUUUUGAUACCAGCUCAGGAUUUUAAUAGAUUUUCAUCCUAAUUGCAUGCCAAACAUAAUGACUAUGGUCACUUUCACACCUGACCAAGUGGACUCGGUUCGAUUGGGGAGCUGAAAGUCGCAACAUAGUUGCAUUUAUCACUUGUUUCGGUUCUGCUUUCAUACUGUGAAUUACACUAAAGUGCACCGAACUUUCCGAGCAGCAUUACGAGGCUUAAAGGGGCGCUUGUCGAUUGGACAAAUUGUGAAUUUAUGGAUUAUUGUUGUUCAGACAAUUGAGCGAAGCUAGCUAGCAACUGAACCAAACCAGGGUUCACUUGCAAGCGAACCAAGACCCACGUUUUCAGGCAGACCAGAGAUCGCUUGUUUGGUCCGCACCAGAGUUCGGAUGAGUUUUCACACUUGCCCAUACAAAGUGGACUAUUCGAGGAAACAAACUGUGGUCCGUUUAAAGCGGACCAAACAGCUCUGGUGUGAAAGCGGCCUAUGUUUGAUGAGGAUCUAAGGAAAAAGCUUUAAAGCAGUUCAAGUGCAGACAAUAAUCUUUCAAAGACAUCAGAAUAACUGAUUACCUGUCAGGCUUUAGAAAGAGGUGCAAAUGUUUGUAGGUCUUGGCGUAGUGGGUUCACCUGCCAAAUUGCACUUAUGUACUUUUUGUUUUGGUUUUGGUCACUGGUUUGAAGAGGUUUUAUAAACUGUGAUGAAUAUUCAUACUAAAUUGCUUACAUUUAGGUGAAAGUAUCACAAUGCAGACACCCUUAUUAAAAGUUUUGGGAGCCUGUUUUCUCUACACAGACUGUGUUGCUCCUGCGCCAGACAAAACCAUCUUUAUGUAUCAGUGAUAUUAAGGAAGCCUUUAGAUGUAAACAGCAUUCAAAGGUUGUUAAGGGGCAAGAAAGCACAUUACAAUUCUGGGGAGAAAUAAAAAGAAAUAAAUAAAGUUCUCAUUUCUGUAUCAAAACUGCACUGUUGUGAUAAAACAAGGCUGUUUUUCAGGGUUUCUGCAGAGCUGACAGCUGGAGUUUGAAGAUUUUCUCCUUUCAGCAAUGAUGUAUGAGUGUAAUAAAGCUCUGAGAUAUGCAGAGAGGUGAAAUACAAAAUAUUUAUCCAUGAAAUCUAGAAAAACAAAAGUAGAUAUAUAUAUAUAUUUUUUACAUAUACUCAGGUAAAUGAGCUGAGUCUCGCCCUGCUUUCUUUUCUGCUUUGUAGUGUCAGGUUUUAGCAGGAAGAGCUGACAUCUUUACUCUCCUUAUGCCCGGAGGGGAUUUCACCAAAGACUGUGUAAGAGGAGGAACACUCUGAGAUAAAAGUCUGCUUCUCUUAGAGUGACUCUGUUCAUAAAUCAGACCUGGUAGAUGAAUGCAAACUCCAAAUCACUGAUGGCAGAAAAUACAAGAAACAGAUCUGCCGUCAUUUAGCAUCACAGAGUGAGAGCCGAUGAUUUAGUUUGAUGAUUACACGGAUACAAAGGCGGGGAACAGACAAUGAGGUUUGUAGUUUCAUUAACAAAGUUACAGCUGCAUCCUGGCAGUAGACUACAGACUGUAGAGAGAGUGAUUUAGCCUUCAUUAGUACAAAUGUGCUCAAUCUGCAGUGGUGAAAUCUGGUUUGAUUUGGAGGAACACUAAACCUGACACUCUAUUACAGUGACCAACAGGAGCCCAAAUGAGAUCCUACCGGAGAAACAGGCUCAAACUUUAAACUUUGUUCAGUUUGUUUAUCUGUCUGAUGGAUUAACGGCAGAAAACUCUAUUAUUUUGUGAAAAUUAAAAAAAACAAAAACAACAACACACAGUUGAAUGGUCUUUUAUUCAAAAUAAACACACGUUAUUUUAGCCUCCAGCUCCCAGAGACACAGGUGAAAAAACAGAUAACAUGUUGUGCACAUUAUUCCACAAGACAUGCAAUCAUACACACUUUAAUAAAACACACACACACACACACACACACACAUGCAGGAGCAUAAGAAAACACCUAUGUGAAUUGUGUGUGUGUCUGGUAGAGAUAAACUCAGGUACGGCUGCAGAAAAUGACUCUGUUAUUGAGCUGUGAAUGGAGGCCUGUGGGGGGUGAUGACAGCUCUUCUUCCUCUGCGUCUUCAUCUCCACGUUGUAUUAACACGACUUUACAUGGAGCUCAUGUUCGCCGCUGACACAACCAGCUGUGUGUGUGUGUGUGUGUGUCUGCCGAGGCUGCGUUUGUGUGCGUGCAAUAGAAAUACAUGUCUCUGAAAUCAGCUGCAAUGAAAACAAGCUGGGAGAAAAUCUAUAGAAUUAUUCAUGGAGACUUUUUUUUUUUUUUUAUCGUGCAGAAAGGUGACAGCAGGGGGCCACACACACACACACACACACACACAUAUACACACUGUUAUACACACUAACACACCUGGGCCCUGUGGUACAUUUGUGAGAUGAGAAAAUAAAGCGAAUCAAUAUCCCCUCUGUUGAUGCCGUGUGGCAGAGAUUGAUACUCUGCUGCUGCGCAUGAAAUAUGCAUGCAGCUCUGAAUCUAAAAAUAUUGUUUUAGUUAAACCCACCCGUUCGGCUGCAGAAAACUUCUAGAUUGAGUUACAGGCAGAUAAAUAUAUACUGUAUAAAUAUAUACACAGGAGCCUGCAGCAUGUAUCGACAAAGACAAUGUUCGAUUGUCUCGUGAUUAGCUCACACAGACAAGAUGGAAACUCCCGGGAUAUCAUGAAAUGCUGAACCCAGAUGAGUUUCUCUGAGAGAGUGCACACAGUUCCAGACCCUGCUGUGCGUGGAUGCAAAUGCAUGUCAAUACCAACACUUUAGGACUAAUGUAGUGGAGCAGGGAUGUUGUUUCCACGGGGAGUAUGAACAAUGGAUGGGUUUCUGUACUGCCAUUUGCUGCUCAUAAACUUCCAUGGUAGAUUUUAACUCUGAUCAAAUCAAUUCAUGGAGCUUUAUCAGCGAAAACCGAACAAUGACAAUGUGACUAAAGCAUUUACACAAAUUAAAUAGGAAUAACAAUAGUCAAAUUAAGAAGAGCAUAAAAAAUACCAAAAUAAGUUAAUGAGUUAAGUACAUUAGUUAGUUAGUUAGUUAGUUAGUUUCUACAAGCAAAAACAGCAGCACCACAUAAUUGUUUUUUGUGUUACUCACAUAUAUGUACAUUUCUGGCUGGUGACAAAAGUCGGACAGAUAGUCUGAGUAGAUAUUUUAACCCAAAGUCCAGAGUGGUAUUGUCUAUGCAAAAAUGCAUUGAAGAAGUAGCACCAGCGUAGUGGAAUGAAAUUCACUUUCUAGGCGAAAGUUUCUUUCGCGCAGUUUCAGAUGCCGUGGACGUGGAUGCAUCGGCGAUGCUGCCUGAAGGGUUCAACUGACCUGCGGCUGCAUCACGUUCUUGUUUCUCAAACGCCUUUUGCAAAUAUAUUGCUGGUACCAUGUCGUGAAACCCAGCGUCAUCAGGAACAUUGUCAAAGUCGAUAUCAACGCAAUGUUAAUAAGUUUCUGCAAGGUCUUUUGUCUCUUUCUGUAGAGAAAGCCACUUUCUAAUACUAGUUCUGUAAGUUUCCCAACGUGUCCUUGUAAAGUCGAGAAUGUCUUCACGCUGGACAGAUGAUAGAUGCAUAUAACAUUGUUUCGUUCCUUUUUGAUGCACUUUUGAAGGCUGUUUUCUUUUCCUCCUGUUCUUUUCUUCCUCUUCGCUUGUCUCGCUGCUAGAUGCGCUCGUCGCCAUAUUUGUGUAUUUCUGAUACUAUGGCAACGAGACUCGGCUCCUAUUGGUCCACGUGACAAAAAUUGCGUUACCCCUCAGCAUAUUCGAUUGCGCGUGUGCAAGUAUCACUACGCCGCAGAAAGGAAAGAGUUCGACACCGAAACACUGAUUACUAAAAAUCGACGGGAUGGCAUGAGUAGAAAUUUUUUUUUUUAGUACUUACUACGAAUAGAGCUAUUUUAUGAAUCACAGUUUAUGUUGCCCCACUAAAGUGGAACGAACUAACACGAUCUCACUCAGCCGAUACAGCCUAUCAAUGCUUCAAGAGGCUUCAUGUUCAAGUUUUUUCUCGAAAUUUUCCACCUUUUUCGAAAUUUUCGACUUUUUUCUUGAAAUUUUUUACUUUUUUUCUCGAAAAUUAAGGGAAAAAAAUCUCUUCAAGUGGCCCUAGUACGCUUCUGUAAUCAUGUUUUUUUUAUCGCAUAUUUAGAUGAUUUUAAUAGUUUUUCUGCUUUCACUUUACCUGCCCAGUAAUGAUGGGAAGAACAUUUCUUUUGCCUGUACUGAAUUUUUAGAAUCCGUUCAUUAAAACGAUUCAUGCAAAAGAUUCGUUCACUGAAUAAGUUAGUGCUACACCAGUGAGUGACACAGCAGCGAGUUCGUUCAAUGAAUGAGCCCCUCCCCUCCCCUUCUCCGAGUAUGAGCUUAAACAGUAUGUCAUAUAUGGAGCUAUAAGAGCUUGAUGAAGAGUCUAUGAUGGAUUUCCAACUAAGUUUAUGAUCAAUUUUCACACCCAGAAGUUUAUUUUUCAUCCACUUUUUGUCUGUCAACAUCAUUCACCCUGAGUUUAACUUGUGUUUUAAUUAUUUAAUCUUCAGCUCAUCUCAAGCUGACCUUCUGAGAACUUUCAGAGCAAACCGCCAAUUCGCACAAAACAUCAUUUAUAAUUCAUGGCAGCGUGAAUAAUAAUACGUCAGAGAAAUGAAUUGCGUUCAUCGCAAUUUGCAGUUGAAAUAUAAUCCCAGCAAACUGUGUCAGAUCUAAGAGGACAUACCUCACCCACAGAUUAUUUUCUACACACACAUGCAUGUUUCUCUUUGACCAGCAGCUGCAUGUUGAACUGUCAACAGGAAGAAGAUGAAUGCAAUCAUGAACGUAAGCCGAUAAUAAAAGAGACGGACAACAGUAGAUGCAGAUUUGAAGUCAGAUCGGCUAAGAAGAAUUCAGCUCUACUUACAGUAUGACUCUAAAUCAGGCUCUAAAUUAUGAUUUAAAUCUCAUUUUUUCCUAACAGUGUUUAAACACAUAUUUCCAGCACCUUCCCUCCCUUCUGUAAAUGCACCUGUAGAUCCAGCCCUGCUGUGCUCUGAGAUAAAGUCUGAUUUAAUCUGCAGGAAGCCUCACAGAAAUACUUUAGAAAGAUAAACCUGACCUGUUUGAUAGCAUCAGUCUGCUAAAUGAGGAGAGGAUGAUAAAACUGAUGGAGGCAGCCAGUGAAGAACUCCAACCCCUCCAGCUUUUUAUCUUUACAUUUAAACCUGGUGUCGAGCUCCCUAUCAAGCACAAAAUGUCCAAUGAUUUAAGAUUCCCAUGUUAAAAAACACUGAAAGUGGAAAAAUGAGAGGUUAAAUAAUGUUGUCAUUUACUUUUUUUAGCCUCAGUGGGAAAUUUUCUGAGGACCCUGUGGUAUAAAACUCUGAGCCAAAAACAACCUCAGAAUCCAUAACCUGCAGGGAUUUGAAGGUGAGGCAGAGUGUGGACUAGAGGUGAAAAAAAAGGCUGGAUUCUAGGAAUGAGCAAGCUUCAUAAUCAAAUAAAAUACCCUACUUUAACCAAUAACUGCAAUUUAACUCUAAGGUUAGUUCAGCUUCAGUUCUGGAUUUUCUUGACUAUUUUUUAAACCUGCUCCAUGUCUAAUUUUAAAAAUAAAUGCUGUGUUGCUACGUAUCUAAGACAAAGGGUCCAAUACUUUGGGCUCUAUUUUCGUGCCUCGCCGGCAGCGUGGCGUAGGCGCGGCGUAAGUCAGGUACACCGCACCGACAAGGUGUGCCCAAGCACAUUUUGGUGAGCGGCGCAGCCCGGCGUAAGCAUCCCCUCUCCCUAACUCAGCUCCUCCAAGCAGUGUAAGUCAUAGAGAGGGGGAGGAUAAGGCGCGGAGUGGGUUUAACACAGCCGAGACCUGUUUUCGCCAAUCAUAUCAGCUCCUCUCCUCAUCUUUAAAUCCGCCACCAGCGAGGCGUAUUACAAUUUUCGUGAAGUAGUCAAAGAGAUCAAGAGAUGUCUGAAGACAGCAAUGCCACACAAUGGCGACAGAAGGCAGCUCCUUAACAAGUGUCACUGUAAGCGCUGCAGAGGGCAUCCUCCACACUCUCCCAUAUGAGCACAGAUGGAUUUGGUGUGUGUAAUGUUGGACCCACUGGUAAGACAAACACCCUUUUCCACAAAUAAAGACACUCACAUAAAGUUGCAUAUAUUUAAACCUCACGUGACAAAGGUGGGUUGUGUGCACAGAUCAUAACAUAAAUUCCAAUAAUGGCAUUAAAAUCGGAAUCAUCUGUACGUAAAUGAUGCCUGGCUCUUUUUUUUUCCAUAGAUGUUGGCAGAUAAAAUAAAUUUGGCUUACAAAACUGAAUAUUAUAAUAUUCAUAUGUAGGCUUAAAGUAAAUAACUGAGAUACAGUAGCUUCAGUUCAGUUGGAGAAAAUCACUGUUUGCAUGCAGUGAAGUCGGCGUUCCCAAUGCCUAGUGGCGAUGGUCCUUGGCGAUAGACUGGUUGUGGGAUUCAUUCCUGAACCCAGACAAAGAAGAACCUGGAGGAAAAGCUUUCUCUUUACCAGUCAAUCCAGUCCUCACUUAUGGUCAAGAUCUUUGGGUUUUAACCAUGGAAUAAGAUGAUGGAUACCAGUGGCCUAAAAGAGUAUUCUAUGAGCUUUAGAGACAGUAAUAGGAGCUCAGACAUAAUAAUAAUAAUAAUAAUACAUUUUAUUUAUAAAGCGCUUUUCAAAAACACAAAGACGCUGUACAGAAUUAGGCAAUAAAAACACACAUCAAUAAGUAAUAAAAUUUACGGCAAUAUAAUAAAAACAUGUAGAAUCAGGUAAAAUCCAAAUAACAAUAAAACACACAUCAAUAAGUAAUAAAAUUUACGACAAUGUCAAUAAAAACAUGUAGAAUCAGGUAAAAUCCAAUGGGGGGGGGGGGCUAGGAAGGAUGAAAGGCAGUGUGGAAGAGGUGGGUUUUGAGAAGGGUUUUGAAUCUGGUGAGGUCAGUGCAGUUUCUGAGUUCGAGUGGGAGUGAGUUCCAGAGGGUGGGGGCGGCGGCUGAGAAGGCUCUGUCCCCCCAGGUUCGGUGCUUGGUCAGGGGAACUGUGAGGAGGUUGGCAUUGGCGGAGCGGAGGGUGCGGGAGGGGAUGUAGGGGUGGAGAAGAUCCUGUAGGUGGGGGGGGGGGCGAGGUUGUGGAGUGCUUUGUGGGUGAGGAGGAGGAUUUUGUAUUAAAUGUGGUGGGGUAUGGGGAGCCAGUGAAGGUUUUGGAGGACGGGGGUGAUGUGUUGAUGGGAGCGUGUGUGGGUGAGGAGGCGGGAGGCUGAGUUCUGGAUAAGCUGAAGUUUAUUGAGGAGAGUGGAGGUGGUGCCAUAAAAGAGACUGUUACAGUAAUCUAGACGAGAUGAAAUGAAUGCAUGUAUAAGGGUUUCAGCUGCAGGGUAGGAGAGGGAGGGGCGGAGGCGGGCAAUGUUUUUGAGGUGGAAGUAGGCUGUUUUAGUGAUUUGCUUUAUGUGGUGGGUGAAGGAGAGGUUGCUAUCGAAGAGAAUGCCAAGGUUGCGACAGUGGGAGGAGGGGGAGAGGAUGGAGUUGUCGAUGGAGAGAUGAAAGUUUGUGACUGUGGAGGUGAGGGACUUUGGGCCAAUGAUGAUGAGAUCUGUUUUGUCAUAAUUGAGCUUAAGAAGAUUGCUGUCCAUCCAGUGUUUGAUGUCAGAGAGACAGUUUGAGAGGGAGCGUUGGGUCUGGGGGCUGAUGGAGUUGGAAGAGAUAUAUAAUUGAAUGUCAUCAGCAUAGCAGUGGAAGUGGAGGUUGUGUUGACGGAGGAUGUGGCCAAGAGGGAGGAGGUAGCUGAUGAAGAGGAGGGGACCAAGCACCGAGCCCUGGGGGACACCUUGGGACACGGGGGCGGUUGUGGAGGAGCAGUUGUUAAUAUGGAUGAAGUGAUUCCGGUUUGUGAGGUAAGAGUGGAUCCAGUUAAGAGCGGUGUCUGUAAUAUUGAGGAGGGAGUGUAGGCGGGACAGAAGGAUGGCAUGGUUGAUGGUGUCGAAAGCAGCGUAGAGGUCGAGAAGGAUGAGGAUGGAGAGUUGGCCAGAGUCAGCAGAAAUGAGGAGGUCGUUUGUCACUUUGAUGAGGGCAGUUUCGGUGCUGUGGUGGGUGCGGAAUCCAGAUUGGAACUGUUCAUAUAGGUUGUUAUUGUUGAGGUGGGUUUUGAUUUGUGAUGUGAUGACACGUUCGAGGAUUUUUGACAGGAAAGGGAGGUUGGAGAUGGGCCGGAAGUUACUGAUGUCAUCGGGGUUGAGUCCAGGUUUUUUGAGGAUGGGGGUGACAGCAGCCAGUUUGAGUGAUGGGGGAACAGUGGUGGAGUUGAGGGAGGAGUUGAUGAUCUGUGUUAUGAUGGGGGAGAUGACGGGGAGGCAGUGCUUGAUGAGGGAGGAUGGGAUGGGAUCCAGGAUACAGGUGGAUGAAGACAUGGAGCAGAUGAUAUUAGUCACGUCAGUUGAGGAGACAGGUGAGAAGCAGGAGAGUGUUGAUGGGAUGGGUGGGAUGGGAUGAGGGGAGGAGGGGAGGAGCAGGGAAUGGAGGGUGGGGGAAGGGAGUUAUAGAUUGCGUUGAUUUUGUUUUGAAAAGAGGAGAGGAAUGUGUUGCAUUUUUCCGGGGUGAAGGUGAUGGAGGUACUGUCUAUGGGGUGGAGCAGUUUUUUGACGGUGGAGAAAAGAGCCUUUUGGUUACUGGAGCCGGAGUUGAUGAGGUUGGAGUAAUAGGAUGAGCGGGCGGAUUUGAGGGCUGUUCUGUAUAGGUGGAGGUGGUCGGUGUAGGCUUGGAGAUGGACAGUGAGGCCGGUUUUGCGGUAUAGACGUUCCAGUUGGCGUUUAUGGGAUUUCAUUUUGUGUAGUUCUGAAGUAUAUCAGGGGGCAAAGUGUCUGAAUGAAACUGUUUUUGUUUUGAGAGGUGCGAGUUGGUCCAGGCAGGAGGAUAGAGUGUUGUUGUAGUAGCUGAGUAGGUCAGGAAGUUUAGCAGAUGGUGAGGGAGGGAAUGCAGUGAGGGUGGCAGAUAGGGAAGCGGAGAGGUCCUGUGGUGAGAUGGAUUUGAGGUUUCUGAAGGUAAUUUGUCGUUUUUCACUGUGAGGCAGAGGGGGGGGGGUCGACGUUGAAAGUGACAGCCAGGUGAUCAGAUAUAUAGAGGUUGGUGGUGGAGAGAUGGCAUCCAGACAUCCAGAGAGAGCUAAGAGUUGGGCCACAUCAAGGGGAGUUUGUUUAGGUGGUUUAGACAUUUGAUCAGGAGCCUCCUAAACACCUCCCUUUGGAAGUUUUCCAGGUACCUGGGAAGUCUUAUAUAUCCUACCUGGCCUGGAAACAGUUUAGGAUCCACCUGGAAGAGCUGGACAAUGUCGAGGAAAUAGAUGCGCAAAUUUCACUCAAGUUAAAAGUGAGGUACAUUUGUCAAUAUCUUUUGUUUCAGGAAAACCAAUUUACAUCAUGGCCACAGUCUCUAAUUCAAAUAACAGUUUUGACCUUGCAUUCAGCAUCAAGUUAAAAAUGUGUUGCCUGCAAAUUUCCCUGAUGCUGUACUGAGCGGACUACUUCUCUGACCUCAGAAUGAAUGAAUGAAUGUUUGUGGCACAACACUUGAAACUAUUUCAUUUGUCUUUAAAUUUUCCCUUCAGCAUAUUAAUUUUUUAUUGUUGUUUAUCACAGCAAUCCUCAGUCAGCUCAGCCCAAAUGAUUAAACUCAAAUCAGAAAGGGAAUGAGGCUGAAUCAAUCUGCCCCUUCAAAAUAAAAGUAUUAUUCAGUGAGAGUUUGAAAAUAGAAACAGUUGAUUAGGAUCAUCGGUUGAAGGUCUCUCUGAUUAUUACACCUUUCUGUUUAACAAUUCUCUCCAAUGUCCUCCUGAUUGGUGUAAAUGAGAAUAAACUGCAACAGUCCUUCAGUUAUAAAUCAUUUUAUUGAAGAAAUUACGGGAUGUCCAUUUUUCUAUCUGGUUUCCUCUCUGCAUAGUUUGGUUUUAACCUUAUUUGUGGAUGCAAAAUUCUUCCGAUGUCAUGGCAUCAAAUCUAAAAUGUUGUCUUUGCACUAUCAGGAUUUGCAAACCAUCAAACCUUGUCCUUGCAAAAACAUUUAAAGGAUCCCUUGACAGUUGAAGAGGAGCCAGAGGGGAUCAUAUUCGGCAGAACAAUUAUCUCUCGAAAUAUAUGACUCAAUUUUAAGAAAUUAAUUCAAUACUUGGUAUGAAUUCCCUCAUGCCGCUUUCAUCAAAACAAUCCGUACGCUGAAAUAUUUUCCUGUGGUGCAUUUUAAGACCUGCUCUUAAAAUAAACUCAAAUUAUGGUCAUAAUUGAAGAUUAAUUAUAAUCCUCUUCAGGCCAGUGUGCUGACGUUACUCUCACUUUUUUUUUUUAAAUAGGAAUAAAUCGAUUCAUGGGAACAAUAAGCAGAUCCAAUUGAAGUUAAUUGUCCUGAGUAAAUGAGGUUCAUUAGUGAGUGGAGAGCACAGUGAUUGUGCAGAAGCUUAUUUCUGUCAGAGUCACGCAUCCUUCAGUUUGAUUGAAGCAAACACUGAGGGGCCAUUUCACAAUAAUGAUCAGUCUGAUUGUUUUCAGGCUGCAGUAAUGAAAUAUUUGUGACAUUUAAAUCUGUGUCAGCCCUGAUUCAUUAGCCAGGAUUGUUGCCAGGAGACGCAGAUUGCAGAGUAGCAGACUGACCUUUGACCAGCAGAACUUGAUCAGGCAGCGAGCGAACAGAGAAGGGCGGGGGCGGAGUGAUGGCGAGCUGAUGUUAUUGGCUCCUGACUCAUCUGAGGAAACAGUGAGUAAAGCGAGGCGAGAAACGGCCUUGAAAUUUCCUGGUGACAUUUGGAUUUCUGCACUGAUAAGUCGACAUUAUUCUACGUUUUUUUUUAGAGGUGUCACAAAAGGCCGAUGGAAAACUCGCUGACGACCGGGAGGCAGGAAGGUGACAAGAAUACUGCGAACAUGAAAACUUUAUUUGAGUCAUAAAAAUCUCUGAAUCACAGACUGCAGCCUGUAUGAAGGACACAGAGGAGCCUGUCUGCAGCACUGUGACCACCCAGUACAGACACUGGGCUGAGAAGAUGACCAUAAACACGCCGAUGGUAUCCUGCAGAUGUGUAAAAGGGUACCCUUAGCAGAAAUUAAUACUUUGUUUUUUCACUGUAGGCUGAAAGGCGCUCUUGUACUUACAUUAAAAGCAUUAUCACAGGUGUCUUUAUAGUCUCUAGUGUCUGUUUUAGGGUACCCUUUAGCUUCUGUGGUAAUGUCCUUUGUUUAUGCUAACAACAAACACCUGUUCUAAGAACUCACUGAAAGUUGGUUUUGAGGUUUUCUUCGGUAGAUGAUUUGAGGUUUUUCUUUUCGAUUGUGUUUUAAAGUUCCUGUGAGGGUUUUUUGCGUUAUGACGCAUUUGGCGCCCCCUGUGGAUGAAGCAGUCUUUGCUCCUUUUCUCCUGUAAAUAUGGUGUCAUCUGAGAAAAGUCUCAUCCUGCUGACUUUUGACAGCCAGAUGUGGCACAGUUGUAUAUAUCUCAAACAGACAGUGUAGAAGCAGGGCUGUUUCUACCGCCUCACAGUGGUUUCAGGCAUUCAAAUUCACAACAUAAAAAUCCUUAAUCUUUUCAUUAGUGGGAGUGUUUAAUUUUACAUAUCAUGACAUGGCUUCAGUACAGAUUUUAGUCUAUUUUAUUAAUGGAAAAAAAACUGUGUCUGUUUUGGGGUUUCUUUUUGCUUCUGUAUCAGCUUUCACUUUUGCAAAUGUUUAGUUUAAAGUUUGCCUCACAAGUGUUUCUAGGUACCAAGUUUUGUUGAUGUAUUUUGGUUCUCUUUGCAUCUGUUGUAAGGUAUUCUACUGGUUGUUCUGAGCCUCUAUUUUGCAUCUGUUUUACCAUCAUGCUCGUGCUCUAGCCUGCACCGUACUGUUUUUGGGUUCCUUUUUGCAUCUUUUUAAACACAUCAUUUUAUGUCCAUGUCACCCUCUGUUGUCAUGAACCCUUUACAACACAAUGUGGCUUACUAGAGUAGAAGUCAGACUGAUGAUGUCUGCAGCCAUGAAUACUUUCAGAUUAUUUUGUUAUGUUUACUGCAGCUGGAAGAUUUCCAGCCUAUAGUUCCUUUUAAAUAGGCGGUGAAAGUAUCUGUAGGUUUACGCUCAGCUGGACAUGAGGUGAAAUAUUACAGAUUCAGAAAAAAUUAAAUCCUCAAUUCACAGAUUUUACGUUUUAACCAGGUAUCUGCCAUGUCACCUUUGUUAUACAGUGCAACGCAGUAUAGCUAACACCCUCUGGCAGCAUUCAGAGUACAUGUUUAUUCCAAAUACACUAGAAUUAUGCAGUUUGUCUGAGUGUGGGGUCCAGCUAUUAAUUUCCUUUUAGGCCACUGAGAUCUGAAUGUUGUUUAAAGAAGCAGCAGUGAAAAAUGAACCCUGUAUAUUAUCCAGGGAGCUUUUUAGUACAUUUUCUUCAUUUUAAUCUACAGGAGGUAUUAAUCUUAGGGGUUAUUAAAUUUAGAUAAAGAGGUCUGAAUAAGAGAGCAUCUCUCUGUUAUUAAAGAGGCCAAGUGUGUUUCUAAAAAGCCUCUGUAGAAAGUGUUUCAGCUAAAAACGAGAUACUGUCAUGACCGUGGAAGGGGUUAGUAAUUUCAAAAUAAAACAGAAAACACAUGACGUGCGAAAAAUAAAGAAAACUUAACCAACCAACCAUGACAGAUAUAAACACAGCAGAAUGUAAAUGUUAUAUGACAACUCAGGUGGUCCUGCAGAAAGGAGUGUUUUGGACAAAAAAGGGAGGAUGCAAUGUUAAAAAAAAAAAAGGUUAUUUUUAAUCAGGUUUUCUUUGUCAUUGGUAAUAGAUUCAUGCUGAGUCUUCACCAAACUUCAUCAGACAUCUAAAAUCCAUCAGAGCUGUAUCUUCAGACCCUCUAAAAGGCAUUGAGCUAAUUUCAGAAAGUGACAUUUUUCUACUCUAGUUUAGAGUCGCCUUUUGUUGUUUAUUUGUUUCCUUGAGCAGCACUCCACAUCCCUCUGUUCCUCACCUCAACUUUAUGUUAAACAGCACUUCAUUAUUUCUUUACACAAUAAAUAACAAUUUUUACAUCACAGAAUUGGGGUUUUUAUGCAACCGCACCCCCUCACACAAUGUGUUUACCUUGUUUUGGUAGUGUCUGUGUGUGUGUGACUGUGAGAGAAUGUUAAUACUACAGGGACCAGGUUUUGAUUGGUUAAUGGGCCAGGUCCGUAGAACCAAUUGGGGAGGAGAGCCAGAUUCAAUAGGCUGCUGACUGGGGGGAAGACACCAUUGUUGUCAACCUAGCGACUUUGUCACUAGAUUUAGCAACUUUUCAGACCCCUUAGCAAAGUUAUUUUCAACGUUUUCCCUUCCUGCGAUAUUGCGGUAUUUAUCUUUCGGAUCAUGGUCGAUUUUUCUAAAGUUUCGCAUAUUCUGUGUCCACUUCUGACCAAUCAGAUUGCAUGUUGUUGCAAUGUCUGAUUCACCGGUAAAUCCAACAUGGCUGACCAGCUGAUUGUGUACGUGUCGGAGAACAGAGUGCUUUUUGAUAAAAAAACACAAACAUUACAAAGAUAAUGACCUGAAGGAUAGUUUGUGUGCUUUAACAGUUUGCUAAACGUCUUUGUUUUAACUUUCAUCUGUGCUAAGUAACUUUAGCUCGUAAGCUAACCUGUUCAGAUACAACAUACCAUAUGUAUUUUCACUGUCUCAAACUCAAUCGUGUUGCUGUCACAGCACCAUUAGGUCUGGGUUGUUACCUUACGUUUAUGGAUUAUAGUUUAAUGUACUUAUCUGGUACUGGCCCUGACUCAGUACAUGCAAUCAUGACAGACAGACAUCUCAACACUAGCGUCUAAUCAGAAGUGAAAAACAGUCAGUCUGCUGUUGUGUCAGUCUUCUCGCUUCCACCCACGACGCGUCUUUUUUUCCCUCGGAAAGUCGCAAAAUCGCAUCGGGCUUGAUGUGUAUAGUCAGGUGCAUCAAAAUUCCCCUCCGAAUAUUUCAUAAUUUAACGUCAGAUAUUUGCGUUGGUCCUGGUGUGUAAGGACCUCUAUUGUUUUUCAAUGGGUAGCCGGUGUGCAUCAAAAGCAUGGACACAGACACAUACAUACACCCUGGCGGGAUCGCUUCUAUCGUCCUCUUGCAACUUCUAGUGACUUUUACGACAGCUACUAGCGACUUUAUUCAAUGAAGAGUUGGCAACACUGGUCAGAAAAUCUAUGUUGGCAUUUGUGUUUGGAGGCGAUCUAAUUGUAUAUCUUUUCUUGUGGAAUAUUAAGGGAUAGGGAGCUGCUUACCCCUUGUUUUGUUUUAACUGCUGUUUUGAGCUAAUUUCAGAAAAUGACAUUUUUCCACUCCAGUUCAGAGUCACCUUUUCUUGUGUUUAUUUGGCUGUUGUAACUGUUGUUUAGAAGUACAAGAGUUCACAGUGUCUGCACACAACUUUAAACACACAUACACAAUAAGAAGUGGUAUUUACUGCAUGGUAUGAACUCGCAGUAACAGCCAUUGUGACGCACCAGCUCCCACACACACGGUAUGAACACACACGUAGACACACACACACACACAGCGCCCCGGGCUGAUGGAGUGCUUGGGAGUAUCAGUUUAGUGUUUACUUGUGUUUUCUGGUCAGGGGUGAGAGGAUCAGAGACACCCUCAGGGGGGGUGAGGCGCUGCGUGAGUUAAUGUUUCACAUCCAGCAGAUUAAGAGCGAGCCGGCAGACGUCAGGUCCGAGCAGACGCCGGGGAGUGAAGGGUAAUGGAUCAGAGAAAUUACUUCACGCUCAGUUCGGGAAGGAGACACAUUCGACCACAAAAGCCUCUCAGAGAGCUUCAUUAGAGGGAGGCUGCUCCGCCAUCACUGUCUGCAGAGGCAUUAUGGGGGAGGCCUGGGUCCAUCCUGCGGCUGAUAAAAUCCAUCAACACACACUUUCACUUCUGUCUGCUUUACUGGAAACACUUUGUUCGUUCUCAGGCUGCAGGGGAUUAAAUCUGGAGACCAGUGAUGCACAGAAAUAAAGUUUGGAGGGAUUAAAGUUAAAGACUGAGAUCCUGCUGUAGGAGUUACAUUGAUUUACAAUAAAAGAACAUUAAAGCUUGGCGCAUAACUUAAAACAGGUGCAUAAGAUUUAAUUUGUCUGAUAGUUUGGAUGUGGGUCAUUUGAAAAUACUGGAGCCAAUUACAACACAACAAGCAAAGAUGUGAAUGUAGCCAUAGUAUAUGAAUGACAGAUGAUACUAUCACACAUUUCUAGUCUUCGCUAAUAAAAGGAGAAUAGUCCAAAAAUGAAAAAGAUGGUAAAAGUCAAAAUAAACCUCUAAAGAGCUGAGAAAUACUCUAUUCAUGUUUCAUAUUUUUAUAAAUGGUUUUAAUUUGCAGUUUUUGAUGAUAAAACCUUUUUGAUUUCUGUGCCUCUUUAAACCUUUUUUUUACUUGUUUAUCUUUCAGUUUAGCAACACAGCAGUACCUAAAGAUAUCACGAUGUUGAAGUUCAAGCAGAAAGAAGAAACUGAAUCAUUGUGAGCAAAACCAGCAUCAGGUCUCUCUCUCUCUCUCUUAGCUGAUUUAAUUUCAUUUGUAUAAACAACAUUUUUGUCACUUGGAAUCAGAGCUGGAGCUUGUCAACAGGCAAGGCAGGUAAUUGCUUGGGGCCUCAGGCCACUAGGGGUUCCGAGGGGUUGAUGAACCUUACUCCACAAAAAUAUCCUGAAAUAUUGCAACCUGGUUAAACAACUAAUGGUCAAAUUGCAAUGACAUCUUCAAUGGAUACCCCCCUAAAGGGACCCCAUGUAAUCCCUAUUGCAAUAUCAACUUUGGAGCAUAUAACAAACUGAAGUUAAGGUCCUUACACACCGGGACCGUUUUUGUCGUGCAAUUAUUUCAGAAAUCAAUAUUUUUUUUCAAACCCGUAUCCUGUCAAUACAAGUGUUCACAUCAGUGACGUUUUUACCGUUCUGCGAUAUUGCGGCAUUUAUUUUUUCGGAUCAUGGUCAAUUUUUCCAAAGUUUUACUGUGCGUCCACUUCUGACCAAUCAGAUUGCGUGUUUUGUCCGACGUGAGAUUCACCGGUAUAUCCAAGAUGGCCGACCACGACCAGCUGAUAAUUUAUGAUCGUUUACACAAACUUUACAACAAUAACGACCUGAUGGACAACUUGUGGGGAGUCAUAGCGUCAGAUUUCUGAUAUGGCGAUGUUUUGUGUGCUUUAACAGUUUGCUAAAUGUCUUUGUUUUAACUUUCCUCUGUGCUAACGUAAGCUAACAGUUGUUACCAUAGUUUAAUGUGCUUAUCUGGUACUGGCCCCGACUCAGUACAUGCUAUCAUGACAGACAGACAUCUCAACACUAGUGUCUAGUCCUCCGCCUCUUCAAACUUGGAGCUAAUUGUUUCAGCAGAACUUCAAAUUGUCCAACAGACAUCCAAAAAUAGGUUCUGAAGCGACCGUGGUACAGUUUAAGCUCCUGAACUAAACAGUGAAACUCACCAAGUUCUCUUCUUGUUUGUAAUAUUGGAUGCACCCAUGUGCUACGUUUAUUUUUCUUUUGAGAAAGCAGAAGUAGUACCAAUUCGCCAUCACUUGAAGUUGAAGUAGACUCAAUUUUUGUCUUCCCGUUUCCACCCAGGAUGCUGUAGGUUGUUAAGGGAAGGUCCCGCCCUCCUUCGCCUCUGAUUGGCUAUAAGUGCUGACCGUUUGGCUUGAGCGCAUGAUGAGGUUUCCAGCUUUUCUAGCCAAUCAGAGGCGAAGAAGGCGGGACUUUCCCCAGGAAAAGUCUUCCCCGGGAUGCAUCUUUUCCCCCCCAGAAAGACACAAAAUCGCAUCAGUAUGUAUUGUGGUACAAACAUAUCAGAGCUAUAUUUAGUGCAAAUUUUUCAAGUUACAUAGUUAAUGUUAUUGUUACGUUAGUUAUUGGUUCAAGCAGUCUGAGAUUUUGUGAGUUUUUUUGUGUGUCUCACAGUUAUUGUUUGAGUUCCAAACUUAUAUUUGAACCAACAGUAUCGAAGCAUAAAUAACGCAGCUCACUGAAUGAGGCAGCAGUCUCUAGUUUCUGUCGGCUUAAAUUCCUGUUUACAUCAAUGUAUUCUGGAAGAAGAGGCUGAACCUUAACUUUCAAGAAACAUUCCACACAUUUGACCCAGUUUACCUGCUGCAGGGUGAAUUUAUCUGCUGAGGCAUCUCCUCAACUUUGAAUGUCUGUUAAUCUUGAUCUUCAAAUAAGUGAAGCUUAAAUUAUUGAGUUUUUUGGUGCACUGUUAAGUAACUAGAACUAUAUAAGUGAAGCCCACAGAGGCUAAAUUUGAUUAUUUUGUGAGCAAGCAAAGAGAAGUCAGGUUGUAUUUAGCUUCUAAUUUCUGGUCACUGUCUCCCUGUGAGCCGUGUGUGACCGAGCUGAAGGGACUCCUCUUCCUUUCAAGAUCAAGAUAUCAAUCAUUCAGUGAUGUGAGAGCGCCACAGGCUGCAGACACUCUGAGGAUUCAGACGCUUCUUCUUUCAGGACAUCGGGUCAUUAGAGAGAGAAAGAGAGACAGAGCAUAGGGGGAGAGAGGGAGGUAGAAAAAAGCCACACUGAAAGAGGAGGGGAGUCUAUUGUCGAGGAUCUGACAAUGGACCCAAAAUACCAGCAUCACCCCGGGGCUCCACAUGAGCAGAAGAUCAGAAAGGCUCAAUAAAUACAGCAGAGAGGUUAGAGGAAGAUGUUCUGGUGGUCAAACUCAGUGUUAUAGUGAAAUCUCUAUGUUUGGUUUAAGAACAGUUUUCUCUACACUACCACAAAAGAGAACAGAGGGGAAAUUAACAAGUAAAGACUGUACAAAUCAGAGUUUUCUGUACUAACAAGGUACAAAGAUUUCUGUUUCCAUAUCACACUACAGAAGACUUCAGGAUUUAAGGUCGUUACACAACGAUGCAAAUAUAUGACGCAAAAUUACGAAAUAUUCGGAGGGGAAUUUUGACGCGCCUGACUAAACACAUCAAGCCCGAUGCGAUUUUGCGACUUUCUGGGGGGUGGAAGCAAGAAGACUGACACAACAGCAGACUGAGUGUUUUUCAGUUCUGAUUAGACUCUAGUGUUGAGAUGUCUGUCUGUCAUGAUAGCAUGUACUGAGUCAGGGCCGGUACCAGAUAAGCACAUUAAACUAUAAUCCAUAAACGUAAGGUAACAACUGAGACCUAAUGGUGCUGUGACAGCAACACGAUUGAGUUUGAGACAGUGAAAAUACAUAUGGUAUGUUGUAUCUGAACAGGUUAGCUUACAGGCUAAAGUUACUUAGCACAGAUUAAGGUUAAAA
Molecule: long non-coding RNA, 76209 nt
Filed under: Xyrichtys novacula (pearly razorfish)
Lineage: Eukaryota; Metazoa; Chordata; Actinopteri; Labriformes; Labridae
Source: RNAcentral